RNAcentral lists this long non-coding RNA (44961 nucleotides) under Cicer arietinum (chickpea). RNAcentral describes it as "long non-coding RNA (CARI_LNC001534)". The record is from RNAcentral. Lineage: Eukaryota; Viridiplantae; Streptophyta; Magnoliopsida; Fabales; Fabaceae.
AUCCUCAUUAUUUUUUCAUUGUUUUGGCCAAGUAGGACAAAUAUAAAUAUAAAUACUUCUACAUAGGCAUACAUUGGAGUACUUAGCAACGAGUUAGAGUUGGGGUAUGAAGCCAUGCCUUCAAAUUGCCUAUAGGAAUGCAAUCAAUCUUUGCCACUUGUCUUGUUUUGAUAUUGUAACAAAAGUGUACAUUUGUCACGAAUCCUGUUGGAUUUGGAACAAAAAUUCCUAUAAAGAUGAUUUGGUCGUUGAUCCAAAACCGAAAAAUCAGAGACGUUGCCAUUAUAUUAAAAUCAAAACCAAGCUUAUGGCUGCAAAUACCCGUAUUAUGAAAAGGUCUAAUCUCAUGAUAAAGAGUCCAUUUUCCUGAAUCCAUAUCCAAAGUAUAGAUUUGAUAUGUUCUACUGUCUUUUUCAUCCAUAAUGAAAGAAAGACAAUCUCCCGUCCAUAAAUAAACUGGAAGUGGAAAAGUAUACACUGGUUGAGGGGGGAGUGGAUAUUCUCUUAUAAUAAUUUCCUUGUCAACAUCCAUCACAAUCACUCCUUCCUCUGUUAUCCAAUAAAUAUCAUUGUCUCCAUUAUGAACUGGUUUCCAUGCUAAAAGACCCUUGUAAUUCAACAACUUAACUUCUUUUCUAACUAUCUCUUUCCAUGUGUUGUCAAUUCCAAUUCUUAGGACGUUGAAAACAUACCAAUUGACCCCUGAAACAUUUUGGUCAUCUAUUAAGAACACCUUGAACUUGCCAGUGCGGGGAACACAUGCUAUAGUAGAUCGCAAUUCAGCCCGUAGUUUUGAAAAGGGUAAAGGAGGAAUUCUAAAGCAGCACUUAAUGAUGGGGUUUACGACGUAAGUAAGUCUAAAACGAUCACAAAGCAGAAACAUGCCAUCAGAAAUGGCGACUAUCUCUCCAAAUCUGAAAGAGAGUCCCAAAUAAAUCCUUUCAGAAUGUCCCUUGACAUAGUCUUGAAUAUUCAAGAAAUAAGAAGCCCUUGUUGUAUGUAUAAUUUCAAUAUAAAUACCAGGUGGUUUACCACGUAGGCAGGCUUGAAUAGCAGUAGCCCAAGGUUUGGAUACGUGCCUUGCAGAGUUAAGCAGACACUUAAGAGGAACCAAACUAAGGAUAGCAAGCAUCAACUCUUGAGGAAGCUUUGAGAUCAGAUCAAAAUUCUUACUACUAUUUGAGUUUUGCUGAAUAUUCAUAUUCUGCUUGUUUGUUGCACGAUCAUGAUGACGUGAGUCAGAGUAAGUGCACUUAUUUAUAGAUUUAAAUCUCUGCCUUUUAACUCGACCAAUUGUCUUUUCCGUCUUCCUCCUUUUCACUUCCAAGAUUUCAACAUUACACUCUUUACCGUCUUCGACCUCUUUUUCUUUAACGUCCUCCUCCCUUUUGGUCUCAUUUUUAGGACGAGCUUUCUGUGAUAUUAAACUCAUCUUUUACAAUUGAACCUGAAAAAGAAAUAAAAGUACAACUCAGAUGAUAUAACACACCUCUAAUCCAAUAUGACAGUUGGAAACUGAAAUAUAAUAUGAGAACAGUAGACAACGGACUCGAUAGGAUAGUAUAAGACGACAACAAAUCCAACUGAUAGAACAUCAAAAUGAAUAAUGAUUGGUGAAAUCAAAUGAUGAGUAACAUAAAUAAAUAAAUAAAUACAGUCAUACGGUAAGCUUGAAUUGAAUAUUGAAUUUAUUUAUUUCAUACAUAAAUCAUCAAUAAUUUAACCAUUUGUGCAGCAAUCAGCUACAAUGAAAAUCAUUUAUACAAUAUUCAACAGAAAGAACAUAUUUUUCAGGUUGAUAACCCUCAAUUUCCAAUGCUGUUCCAUGCACAAAAUUCGACAAACCAAUCAGAAGUAACAUUAAUGAUGAGUCAGCAAAUGCCACUACAAAGGAACAGUUAUGGAACCAAGGAGCCUAGAAAGAGUAACAGGCAGAAAAUAACCAUCUCCAAAAUGCGAUGAUUAUGUGAGAGGUUGAAGUGUAUAAGUGAGGCAAAAAACUGAAAGUAGUGGUGUGGAACUUGGGCUGAAAUUCCUCUUCCAAUUUCAUCACCUGAGUUUCCCUUCUGCUUUCUUUUCUUUCUAAUAAUUCCUUGCCUUGUAAAUUGUUACUAUUUCUCCGCCUCAGAGCCGUCUUAAUGUUUUUUGAUGUCAUGUUCGAAUUUAAAAUAUUAGGCCCCUAAUAAAAAGUGUUAUGAUAUUUCAUAAUAUUAUAUUUUUAUCAAAUGAAAUACCAAAAACUCAAACUAUUUUAUUAAAAUUCAGCGAAAUAAAUAAAUUGUAAAUAACAUCUAAAUACAACUUCAGGCUCAUACUAGCCUUCUUACCAUUUAAAAAUAGCCCUUCUAACACGAAGCAAACCAAUAAUAGAUCUAAUAAUGCAGUAAUGAGUUUCAUUGUAAAUCUUAUAGAUCCAAUAAUAGAUUACCAGAAAACUAACUAUUACUACCAUUGUAAAUCACAAAAUCAAUAAUGAGUUCCUAAAUUCAAUAAUCAACCAUUUCAAAGUUUCUAAAAUCAACCUUUGCUGAUGAGAGUUGAGAGAAAUUAGGCUUAGUAUUUUUUUGGAGAGGAGAUAGAGAGAAGAUAGUCUCUGUUUAAAUGGGGUAUUUAUUUCGGACAUUUAUUUUAAGUAUAGGGUGCAAAUAUAAAAUUUUAGAACUGUCGGUGUACAAAAUUAAUGCAAUUUUCAAAGUUCAUAUAUAUUAUUACAAAAGAGAUUUGGGGCAUCCCUAUUGGGGAACUGUGCCAAUCUUUUGUAUAAUGUAACUGAUUUUUGAAGAAGAAAAAAAUCAUAGUUUUGUACAAGACCAUUCAAAAAUGUAUAUUUGCACCUUAUGCACAAAAUAAAUGUCCAGAAAAAAUAGACAAUUUGAAUAUACUAUCUUAUCAGCAUCUCUCUAAACAAAUAUCUAACUUAAUUUCUCUCGAAUCUCGUCAACAAAGAUUAGAAUCUUGAAUCUUGAUGUUAGUGUUUUAGAUUUUUGUUUAGCAACAUUUUAGAAUUGAUUUCAAUAAAACAGUAAGCUAUAUUUUCCUUCCCAUUUUAUUUCAUUUCACAUUGCAGUUACAAAUAUGAAUAAUUCACACAAUCAAACUAAACAAGACAAAUAAAUAACCAAAAUUAAGAACAGUGAAACCAAAAUUAGUCUUUUAAAAUAUAUUACACAUAUAAAAUGAAAAAUAAAACCUUCAAGACAAACCCUAAGUUAAACACAUUGAAUCCAACUUAAUAACAACAGAAAGAAAACACCAAAGACCAAAACAGAAAACGUUCAGAAACCCUAAAAAAUUCAGAACUUUAAUGGAUUCAAAAUGUCACGAUCAUAAAAUUGAAAAUAAUUUAAAAAUCGUAAAAGACUCACCCUAACCUUUUAGCUCUUACUCACCGUGAUGACGACCUUCCAACACAUAAUAUAAUGGCAUGCUCAGUAGAUUCAGUUGAAAAAAUGAAGUUACUUAAUCAAACCCAGAUCUAAGAGAGAUGAAAAAUCUAACAAAAAAACUUAUUAUGCUUCGAAUAAGUAAAAACAAGUGUUAAAAAACUAAAUCAGAUCAUGUUGCAUGUACCUAUGUGCGUUUGCGAAGCAUCUUUACUCCAAAGAGAAACGACCGAACCGGUGGUUGAGGUUUGAAACAUAAACAAAAGAUGUUUGUCUAGAGAAAGAGAAAUUGUACCAAAUACAUAGUGUUUCUCUCUCCACUCACAACACAACUUUCACACGCGCAUUUUAUUAUUACCAACCACAAAUUAGGUUUUUUUAUUUAUAUAUUAGCAUUUUUUUUUUACAUUAAAAUGCUCUACUUGCAAUUAAUAUUACCUCAUUCAUCAAAGAACGACCAUUUGAAAAGAAAGAAUUUUUUUUUUAGAAAAAUUUGUCUUCUACCUUCAAAAAAAAAUUUAAAAUACCAAAAAUACCUUCAAUUUUUUUUUUACUAUUUUACCCAAUAAAAAGUUAAAAAAAUUUCACUAUUUUCUAAUUUUCGGAGCAGUAAAAAAGAUUUUUCGUAGGUUCUAAUUUUCCGGUAACUUUCAGAAAACUUUAAAUAAGAUUUCUGUUACACAGUAUAUUUCCAGAAAAGUUUUCUUAAGUUUUCCGGUACAUAAGGUAAAUUCCGGAAAACUUAAUAAACAGUUUUCGGUAAAGAAAGGGAAAAUUGUGUACUGAAAAACUUAAUUGUCGAGUUUUGUACUCUGGAAAUCUUCAUACACAAGUUUUCUGGUACAUAACUAUAUUUUGAAAUUAAUUCUUUCAUUUUUUUGAAUUUUAUUAAUUUUUUUUUAAAUGUUAACAAAUAUGGAUAAACCGUUACUAUUAAUGGAUACAAGAUGCGUCGAUACUACAAUAUUUUUGACGCAUACCAGAUAUGAAUAAAUAUAAUUAAUAUUAAUAUUAUAAAAAUAUAUUAUGGCGAUUAAUUAUAAUUUAUUUUACUUCAGAUAUUUGAUACAAGGGACGCUUGUGUGAAUUAGGCAAAAGAAAUCGAUAUAAAAAAAAAAAAAAAUAACUGUUAUUAUCAGAAAAAAGAUCAGAUAUAGAGACAAGAGAGAAAGGAAGGAGAAAUAAUGAAUACUAAAAUAAGUAAAUAACAUCUAAAUACAACUUCAAGUUAAUAGUAAUUUUCUUGCUAUUUAAAAAGAGUUAUUCUUUUAACACGAAACAAAUCAAUAAUAGAUUUAAUAAUAAUGAAGUAAUGAAUUCUAUUGUAAAUCUAAUAGAUCCAAUAAUAGAUUACCAAAAAAUAUAUUCUAACAUUUGUUAAUGGAGAAAUUAGAUUUAAUAUUUAUUUAAAGAGAAUAUAGAGAGGAGAUAGCCUCCUUUUCAACUGAAUAUUUAUUUUGUAUAUUUAAUCUGAAUGCAAAUAUAAAGAAAUAAUUAAUCUGGACAUUAAUUCAUUUCACAUUUCAGUUACAAAUAUGAAGAAUUCACACAAGCGAACUAAAUAAGAUAAAGAAAUAACCAAAAUUAAGAACGGUGAACACUAAGAAACAAUCCCUGAAUAUGAAGUCACUUAAACUAAAAUACCAAAAUACUGAUUUCGAAAAUAAUUAAUACCUAUAUCAAGUGUGAACAACCUCUAAUUAUUUAUUCUAAUUAUAAUAAAACUUAAAUUAAAAAAAUAAAUAAUUAAAGUUUUACUGUGUGAAUUUUUUAUUUGUAAUUUUUCUACUGUGCAAAUUACAUAUAAAUUUUUGUAAAAAAAAAAUAUCAAACAAGUCGUCAAUCUUGCAUCAUAUCUUUGAAUUUGACUAUGGUGGUGAAAUCCAUAGAUAAAAGCAAUAACUAAAAGAAUAAAAGCAAAAUCAAUUUUGUUGAAAACAUUUGUUAAAUGAAAACCAGUAAGCAUCGAUUCAAUUGAUUCAAUUAUUUCAAGAUGAUUAAGAGUUACUUUUAAAGUAAUGCAAAAGCAAUAACUAAACUAGUGCAUAAAAGCAUCAAUUAAGCUUAAAUAUAGUUAAAUAAUACAAUAGAAAGUUAUUAAGAUGCAAUCAUGCAAAAUAGGUGAGCAAAUCACUAUAAAAGCAUCAAGUGAGUUUCAUACAGUUAGCCGUGCACCAAUUACCAAAUUCCAAUAGUAUUUUCAAGAUACUAAAUGCAUAAAUAACAUACAAGUUUCAUAAUAAUGCUAAUACAACAAACAAAAUGCAUGGUCCAAAACAGAAUAAAUUAGGUGAGCAAAUUCAAUUGUAACCUGAAGAGUUAUAUUAAAGCAAUGAAGAUAAAGCAGCAUUCCACAAAUUUAUAUCACUCACUGGAACACAAGUAAUCAGCUGAAACUCAUUCUGGCAAAGUGGGCAGAGAUUAGUGAUGGUUGCCCAGUUGUCAAUGCAGGCAAAGCAGAACCUGUGAAACAAAUGAACCAUGCUAAAAAUAUCAUAUUCCUAUUUCAACAUGAACACUGAAAAAGAAGGAAAGAAAAAGCAGCAUUUACUGAGAACUGGUAGAGAAAACACUUAAAACGUAACAUAACAGACUGGAUAUGAAUACUAAUAGAGUCCCUAAUACAUGCGCAAAGGAAGUCCCCCCAAACAUACAGAGAAAGUUAUUCUUCUUAAAGGUCUUUUAACACAAUCCAAUUUGAGGAAGAAUUACACCAAGUAGUUUGAAGGGGCUAACAACAGUAGUUUUUGCUGAGAGAGUAAACUACCAAUGAUCAAAUACAUAAUAAACAAGAUAUUAGUCUACAACGUAUUUAUAAAGUGGCCCAUGACAUAUUUUGUUUAAUUUAAUUGUAUAUUUUUUCUUUGUUUCACCAUUAAAAAAAUAAAAAAAUUAUUUCUUCAUUUUGUUACCUAUGUGAUAUAGAGACAAAGACUCUAACUCCGUUAUAUUAAAUUUAUGCAUCUAUAUAAAUUAAUUGUUCUCAGUCAUCAAUUUAAGAUUUAUUAAUUUACAUUAUAACUUUUUUAAAUCAUAUUUUAAAUAAUUUAUAUUUUUAAUUUGAUAUCAGAUAAUUAAAAUUAAUAAGCAUAUAUAUUAUAUAUAUUUAUUGCCUGAAACUCGAGUAAAAAAAAUGAUAACCCAUGAAUUGAGAUUUUUGAACAAAAAUAUCUUUAUAAAAAUAUAAAAAGUUAAAAACUAUAAAUUGGUGUUUUUAUUUUUUUAUAAAUUAUUUUAAAUAUUAGAGAAUAAUACUUUAAACACUACUAAUGGUUUAAUAUUUUUAAAACCAGCUUUAAGGAUAUAGUUGGAUGAGUCAAAAACAGGUAUAGUCGGCGGGUGGCUUAGUGAGAAGUCAAAUAUAGGACAGCCAAAUUUAAUUAGGCACUAGCCGCCGGAAUUGAAAAAGUCCCGUUAUUUUUUUUCUACCUUUUUAGUUGGCUACCAUAAGAAUUUAUUUUAUAUAUAUAUAUAUAUAUAUAUAUAUAUAAUUUAGUCGAUUACAACAAUUUAAUUAUUGUAAAUAUUUAAUUUUUAUUAUAAUAAUUUUUAAAAUCACAUGUAUAAAUAAUUGUAAUAUGUUAGUAUUUAAAAUUAUUUACAUUGAUUAUUAUAUGAAAUGUCAUUAUUUUAUAUAAUUAAAGGUGAGCGGAAAGAGUUUAUAGCUUAAUUUACUUAGUUUUAAUUUAAAAAGUUAAAAUAUAAAACUACUAAAAAACAUUUCAGGCUUAAUGACCAUCCUAAUAGGGAUAUAAAAUUAUAAAAUAUAAUAAAUGAUAUUAUGAAAUUAAAAAAAUGUAUUUAUAAAUUAAAACAAUGAAAAAACUGUUGUGACGUCAUUUUUACAUGUUAUUGCUAAUACAUAAUCAUAAUAUCAUAAAAAAACGGUUCAAUCACUAGAAUUGAAGGAGAUUAUAAAAUUUCAUAACAUUUUAUAAAAUUUGAAUUUAAAAUUAAAUUUAAACAAAAUACAAAAUAAAAAAUACAUUAAAUUUUUAUAAUUUUAAAGAUGUACUUAACCAUUCAAUAAAAAAUCAUAAAGCUACUCUUUAAAAACUUACAAAUUUCGAGCUAACAAUACUCUUGUUUACUUGUUAUUUUAAUUGUAAACUUGCGUGUUUGUUUUUUUUUAUUUGAAAUAGGAACCAUUUUCAUUACAAAAGGAAUAUAUCCUUACAAAUCAACUGGAAGAGUUCUUAUAUUUGAUUGUAAAGUAUAGAUAGAGAUAUCCGGGUUUUGUUUUUCAGUACUCUUUAUUUUAAUUCUUUAUUUAUGAAUUUACUCUUUUUAAAAGAAAAUUAUAUAUUAAAUUAUUUUAUUUCCUUUUUUAGUUAUAAGUCAUUUUUUUAGAUAGCGACUUAUUAAGUUUACAAAGACGACUUUUCAAAUUAAUAAAAUAUACAUAUAUAUAUAUAUAUAUAUAUAUAAUUUGUUCAUAAAAAAACAACAUAAAAUUUAAAUUAAUUUAAAUUAUGCAUAAUAUUUAAGUAAUGUUUUUGAGUUUGACUAAUUAACUGAUAUAAUAUAUAUUUUUUGACAUUUUUUUCUAAUAAUCGAAUAUUAUCAUCGGUAUAUUUUAAUUACGAAUUAUGUCGGUUAAUCAGUCAUAUUAAAAAAUAUUAUUUAAAUGUUAUAUACAACUUUAAUUAAUUUUCUUAAUUUGACAUUUUUAUUGUUGUUUUUUAUAAAUAAAUUAUAUGUAUAAUAUAAUAUAAUAUAAUAUAAUAUAAUUUUCGUUAAUUUAAAAAAAAAUUAAUAAUCUCUUAAAAAAGUCGUUAUUUAUAAAAAUACUUAUAAAUAUAAUAAAAAAAUAUUUUAGUAUAUAAUUUUUUUUAAAAUAAUUUAAUAAGUUUUUUUUUAAUUGAGUCUAUGAAAAAAUAAUCUUAGAUAUUCUUUUUUUUUUUUACGAUAAAAAUAAUAUCCUUAAGAUUGAAUACAAACAUAGGAAAAAUAAUAUUAAUUAACAAUAAUUUAUUAUUAAUAAUAUUAAUAUGAAAAAUAAUAUUUUAAAAAAAUAUAUAUUCAAAAAUAAGUUUUAUGAAAAUUUUCUAAAAAUAAUUUAUUAUUUUUUUUUGAAAAUUUAUUAUUUAAAUAAAGAAAUUAUUAAAAAUAGUUAAAAUAUUAAAAAUUAAAAUUAUUUAAAAAAAAUGUUAUAACAAAAAGUACUAUAAAAAUUAUUUUAAGAAAAAUCUAAAACAUACAAAUUCAUUGUAUUUAAACAAACUUUCAAAUCAUAGUAAUUUACAAAUUUUAUUAAUUUAUUAAAGAUGUAAACGUAAGUUAUACUCCACCGUGUAUAUAUAGAGUUUGGGUGUGAGUCCAUAAUAGAAACACACACGGUGUAUUGUUAAGAAAAAUUAAUGAAGAUGAAGUUGGCAAUCCAAUUUCCAAUACUAAUAGUAAUAGUAUUAGUAGGAUGGUGUUGGGCGGAGCAAUGUGGAAAACAAGCUGGUGGUGCGUUGUGCCCCGGUGGAUUAUGCUGCAGCAAAUUUGGUUGGUGUGGUUCAACCAGUGACUAUUGCGGUGAUGGUUGCCAGAGUCAAUGUGGAAGCGGUGGUGGUGGUGUUGGUAGCAUCAUAUCGAGGGACACCUUCAACCAGAUGCUGAAGCAUCGAGACGAUAGUGGUUGUGAGGGGAAAGGAUUCUACACCUACGAAGCUUUCAUUGCAGCUGCUAAGUAUUUCCCUGAUUUGGGUAAUAACGGAGAUACUGCAACUAAGAAAAGAGAGAUUGCGGCUUUCUUGGGACAAACAUCUCACGAAACGACAGGUGGAUGGUCAAGUGCACCUGAUGGUCCAUACGCUUGGGGAUAUUGCUUUUUGAGAGAACAGAACCCAAGUACAUACUGUCAACCAAGCUCUGAAUACCCAUGUGCUUCUGGUAAGCAAUACUACGGUCGUGGUCCAAUACAGUUAUCUUGGAAUUAUAACUACGGACAGUGUGGUAGAGCAAUUGGUGUUGAUUUGCUUAAUAACCCAGACCUUGUUGCUACCGACCCUGUUAUUUCCUUCAAGACCGCUAUAUGGUUCUGGAUGACCCCACAGUCACCCAAGCCAUCCUGUCAUGAUGUUAUCACCGGACGAUGGAAUCCUUCUACUUCUGAUCGUGCGGCUGGUAGGCUUCCUGGUUAUGGUACUGUUACCAACAUCAUUAACGGUGGACUUGAAUGCGGUAGAGGACAUGAUAGCAGAGUUCAAGAUCGGAUCGGUUUUUACAAGAGAUACUGUGACAUCUUUGGUAUUGUUUACGGAGAUAACAUUGACUGUGCUUCUCAAACACCAUUUGCUUCUUCUCUAUCCUUCUCAUCAUUGCUGCUCCAAUCCAAACCAUCCACACCUAGUCAGUAGUCAACUCAACCACUCGUCUAUUAUAAAAUAAAUAAAUACGUACCAUGUAUGUUGAUUGUUCACGUCACAUGUAUCAAUGCACCUAUACCUACUUUGAAAAUUUCAGAAACAUUAUCCUUAUCUUUUUAUAAAAGAUGAUGAUUCACCAUUCACGCACGCACCUUAUAAAAAACUAGUACUAGAAGCCGCCGAGCCUGUGAUACAUUUUUUCUUUCUUUUUGUUUGAAAUGGCGAGGUAUAGCACUCUUUAUUCAACUGGUUGCACAAGUUAUCCAUAUUUGAAAACCAAAAACAGUUGAAUAAAAAACAUAAGACUAGUUCUACUCAAUUGCUCUGUGUUCCAAAAUCAAAACUAACUUUUUGGCUUAAUUUUUAUACGCUGCCUUAUAAAAUGUUUUACAUAAUUAAAAAAUUUCAACUAAUAUUUUUCUGUAAGUAUAUUAUAUUUAAUAAAUGUGAUUUUACUGUUAAACUCUUUAAAAUUAAAAAAUAAAAAUAAAACUUAAAUUUAUUAGUAAUCAAAUGUGUGAAAAUCUUCAUUUACAAUAUUUUGAAUUAAAUUCUUGAGUCAUUUCUAAUCAAUUAGUUCUACUCAAUUAUUGACGUUGAUUACUGGUUAUACGUAUUGAUUGUUUCAUCUGAUUAAUUCAUUCGAUUAUAAAUGUUAUUCUUUUUGUAGUAUUGAUUUUUACAAAUAAUUUUAAAUUUAAUUUUUAUAUAACAAAGUUAAGUAUUUGAAUAGUUGUAAGUAUUAAUUUACGAUAAAUUUAUCAACUAUUUCUAUACGACAAUGUUAUCUAUCAAAGUCGCUAUUUUCUUGCAUAUGUUUUCUAUUUUUACUUCUUUUCUUUAUGUGUCGUGUAGACGAACGUCACUCUCUUGUUAAAAUUAUACAUUUACAUUUCUUGAACUUCGAUUUAAGAUCUAUCAAUUUACAUUACAAUCUUUCCAAAUAAUUUUUUAAAUAAUUUAUAUCUUUCAUUUGAUGAGUCGGGAUUAAUAAAUUUGUCAUCUAUUUAUUGUAUGAAACUCAAAUAUAAUUAAUAUAUAAACUAAUUUAUUCCUAUUUUGGUUUUAUUUACUUUAUAUUAGAAGAAUUUAAAUCAAAUAUACAUUAUAUAUUUUAGAGAUCAAUUUCAAAUAGACAAAAUUGUAAAUACACUUUUAAGUUUAACUUAUUUUUUAAAUUUAUUUUUUAAUAUUUAUUAAAUUUGUCAGUUGUUUAGAAUAUGACAUUUGAAAGCGUCUCUAAAUUUGAGAAUAUUUGAUGAAUCAAAGAGAUAAAGUUAUAAGAGUUAUCUUAAAUGGAGUCUCUAUGAAUGUGUAGUUGAAAAAUAUCACCUACAUGUGAGAUAAGCAUCCAAUACGAUUUCAAACAUCUUGGUUCAAAUUGUUGCUUUCGUGACUAGAGUACUAUCGUCAUAACAAGAUGGAUAAUGAAUUUCUUGCCAAUAAUAUGACGUUUUAUAUCGAAAAAGAAAUAACUAAAAACUUUAAUUCUGAUUCAAUUAUUAAUAAUUUCAAGAUUUUAAGGGAACGAAGUGCACAACUUUAAUUCAAUGUAAAUGUUUCUUUUCACAUAUUAUAUUUUUAUUUUGUAUUGAUGUGUUAUGUUGAAUUUUUGAUAAAAUUAUAUAACUUUUAUGAAUUUUAAUUAUAAUAUUUUUGUUAAUAUUUAUCGCUUCCCUUAGUAUUUUAUGCAAGAUCUGCCACUGAAAAUCAAAAUCACAGUCAAAAAUUAUUUUUAUGUUCAAAUAGUCAUUAUAAUUUACAAAUCGACAGACACUAAAAAAAGUAAUAUAUUUGUCCAAAAGGAAAAAGUAAUAUAUGGACUAAAGCAGGAUAAUAAAAUUAAUAAUUUAACAAAAGAUAUUAUACUUUCAAAAUUUGGUGAAUCUAAAUUCAAAUCUCCAUUGAAACGACUCAUAUAGAGGGAAGAGAAAAAAAAAAGCUAAAUAGCGCAGGUCCCUUAACUUAAUUUCAGUUAACGGUUUAGUCUUUUAUCUUUUUUUUUUAUUUGGUCCUUUAUUUUAAUUUUAAGUGACAAUUUGAUUUUUUAUGUUUUAAAAUAUCAACAAUGUUAUCUUUUUUUUUUUUACAAAAAUUCAAAAAAUGCAUCAAAAUUUUCAAACAAAACCCAUAAAAUUAAUUACUUCAAUAUAAUGUAAAUUUUAUCAAAUCCAUACCUUAAAUUUUUAAAUAAACUCAUAUUUUCAUUAUUUAUUUAAUGAAUUUGAUGUUGUUGUAAAUUAAAAUAUGAGUUUAUUUGAAUAUUUAAGUUAUGCAUUUGAUGAAAUUUGCAUUAUAUUGAAGAUAAUAAUUAAUUUUAUGGGUUUUGUUUGAAAAUUUUAAUGAAUUUUUCGUAAAAAAAAAGGAUAAUAUUAUUGAUAUUUAAAAACAUAAAAGAUCAAAUUGUCACUUAAAAUUAAAAUAAACAACUAAAUCAAGAAGAAAAAAAAAACUAAAACGUUAACCAAAAUUAAAUUAAGGGAUCGCAUAUGUUAUAUAUAUUUAAAAUUAUAUAAUUUACAUAUUUAUUUUUAUUUAUACAUAUUAUAAUUAUUAUUGAUUAAAGCUUAAAGUUCGCACCUCUAAAUUUAGGUCUUGGAUCCAUUGCUGCAUUUUGUAAAAAUCAUUAACCAUCCAACAUAAUUACCAUAACAAAUACACACACAAAUUCAUUAUUCAGUAAACACAAUAUACAAAUCUAUCUUAAAACACAAUAAUAAUACAAAAUGAAAAACACAAUUAAUUUAAUUAUUUAAUAUUGAAUUAUUGAAUCAUCAAAAUUAUAAUUUAUAAGUUAUAGUUAAUCUAAUCAGUUUAUAUUGAACCGUUGAAAUAUCAAAAUUAGAAUAUAUAAAUUAUAGUUAUUCUAACUGAAGUAGUAAUAGCAAUUACAAGGAAGGAGGUUUGGAUUGUGAUCUCUUUUUGAAAUUUUUUAUUUAUAUAAUUAAUUUAAAUUAACUCAAGAUCAAUCUUGAAUUCAACAUAAAUUCUAAAACGUUAUAGAUAUGUUAAAAGUAAAUAAAACAUAAUGAUAAUGAAAUAGGAAGCAAUGCUUCUAAAAAUAGGUUGGCUAUUAUCACCAUAAACAAUGCUUCUAUUUUUAUGGGUAGAGAUUUAGAUUGCUUUUGAAAAAUUGUGGAUAAUUUAACUCAGAGCCUAUAAAAAUUUGCCAAAGUAAAUUUCAGUGGUAUAUGCAAAUUCACAUAUGUGCUUAAUUUUUAUUGAAUAACGGAUAAAUUAUCAUAAUUUUUCAAAGAGAAUCAUGAUUUUUUUUUUUAAAUGUAUAGUAAAUCAAUAAUCAAAUAUGUAUGAUAUUCAUGGGUAGGGUAAACAAGUUAUAAUAAUAAUAAUAAUAAUAAUAAUAAUAAUAAUAAUAAUAAUAAUAAUAAUAAUAAUUCAAGAAGAAAAAAAAAACUAAAACGUUAACCAAAAUUAAGUUAAGGAAUCGCAUAUGUUAUAUAUAUAUAUAUAUAUAUAUAUAUAUAUAUAAAGGGAUAUGUCUACCGCAAGAAAGAAAAUAGCAACACCAAAAUGAUAAAGUAUAAAUAAUAGCAGUCGGGGCAAACAAGAUUUGGUAACAUAAUAGAAGCCUUGAUGAAUUGAGUAUAUCAUGGAUUUGAUCUAAAUAAAGAUGACGAAUGAUUCACCAUUCAAACCACCAUAUAAAAACUAGUACUAGUAGCCGCCGGGCCUAUGAUGCGUUUUUUCUUUCUUUUUAUUUGAAAUGGCGAGGUAUAGCGCUCUUUAUUCAACUUCCAUUUUUGGUUGCACAAAGUUGAAUAAAAAACAAAAGACUAGUCCUACUCAAUUAUUCCGUCUUCCAAAAUCAAUACUAACUUUUUGGCUUAAUUUUAUACCUUGCCUUAUAAAAUGUUUUACAUAAUUACAAAAUUUCAACUAAUCUUAUUCUAAGUAUAUUAUAUUUUGUAGAUGUGAAUUUUACCAUUAAAGUUUAGCAUGCGUGAAUUUGAUCGUCAAACUCUUUAGAAUUAAAAAAUAAAAAUAAAAUUUAAAUUAUUGAGUAAUUUCUAAAUGUGUAAUAAGCUUAGCAUUUAUAUAUAUAUAUAUAUAUAUAUAUAUAUUUAAUAUUAUCGCAAUUGACUUUUAAAUUUACAAUAAUUAAACUUAUUAGGGAUGUGAGAGUUACAAAAUAGUUUAGAGAAGGUAAAGUGACGCGUUUACAGUUUAACUUCUCAUUUUAACAAAAUUAAUAACCAAUUACGAAAUGGACUAUUUAAAAAAAAAAAUCUUAUUUGAGAGAGUCUAACAUCAAAUGUUUGUCAAAUAUAUUUUAUCAAUCUUUCAUUGAUGAACACUCCGAUAUAUUUUCAAUUGAGAAUGCACUAGUACAUGUCGAAAGAUUUAGUUACCCAUACAUAACCACAAAGCUAAAUUAUUUGUUGUAUAUGUUAUUGGCAAAUUUAAUAUAUAUUAUAUUGAUUCCAUUUUUUGUUGCAAAUAAAUUAUAAAAUUUAGUAGUAUAUUUUAAAAUUAUAUAAUUUACAUAUUUAUUUUUAUUUAUACAUAUUAUAAUUAUUAUUGAUUAAAGCUUAAAGUUCGCACCUCUAAAUUUAGGUCUUGGAUCCAUUGCUGCAUUUUGUAAAAAUCAUUAACCAUCCAACAUAAUUACCAUAACAAAUACACACACAAAUUCAUUAUUCAGUAAACACAAUAUACAAAUCUAUCUUAAAACACAAUAAUAAUACAAAAUGAAAAACACAAUUAAUUUAAUUAUUUAAUAUUGAAUUAUUGAAUCAUCAAAAUUAUAAUUUAUAAGUUAUAGUUAAUCUAAUCAGUUUAUAUUGAACCGUUGAAAUAUCAAAAUUAGAAUAUAUAAAUUAUAGUUAUUCUAACUGAAGUAGUAAUAGCAAUUACAAGGAAGGAGGUUUGGAUUGUGAUCUCUUUUUGAAAUUUUUUAUUUAUAUAAUUAAUUUAAAUUAACUCAAGAUCAAUCUUGAAUUCAACAUAAAUUCUAAAACGUUAUAGAUAUGUUAAAAGUAAAUAAAACAUAAUGAUAAUGAAAUAGGAAGCAAUGCUUCUAAAAAUAGGUUGGCUAUUAUCACCAUAAACAAUGCUUCUAUUUUUAUGGGUAGAGAUUUAGAUUGCUUUUGAAAAAUUGUGGAUAAUUUAACUCAGAGCCUAUAAAAAUUUGCCAAAGUAAAUUUCAGUGGUAUAUGCAAAUUCACAUAUGUGCUUAAUUUUUAUUGAAUAACGGAUAAAUUAUCAUAAUUUUUCAAAGAGAAUCAUGAUUUUUUUUUUAAAUGUAUAGUAAAUCAAUAAUCAAAUAUGUAUGAUAUUCAUGGGUAGGGUAAACAAGUUAUAAUAAUAAUAAUAAUAAUAAUAAUAAUAAUAAUAAUAAUAAUAAUAAUAAUAAUAAUAAUAAUAAUAAUAAUAAUAAUGAAAUAUGAAUGUUCCUAAAUAUUCAUUCUUUUUUCCUUGUUUUGGCCAAGCAGGACAAAUAUAAAUAUAAAUACUUCUACAUAGGCAUACAUUGGAGUACUUAGCAACGAGUUAGAGUUGGGGUAUGAAGCCAUGCCUUGAAAUCGCCUAUUGGAAUGAAAUCAAUCUUUGCCACUUGUCUUGUUUUGAUAUUGUAACAAAAGUGUACAUGUGUCGCUAAUCCUGUUGGACCCGAAAUAGAUUUUGGAACAAACAUUACCAUAAAGAUAAUUUGGUCGUUGAUCCAAAACCGAAAAAUCAUAGACGUUGCCAUUAUAUUAAAAUCAAAACCAAGCAUAUGGCUGCAAAUACCCGCAUUAUGAAAAGGUCUAAUCUCAUGAUAAAGAGUCCAUUUUCCUGAAUCCAUAUCCAAAGUAUAGAUUUGAUAUGUUCUACUGUCUUUUUCAUCCAUAAAGAAAGAAAGACAAUCUCCCGUCCAUAAAUAAACUGGAAGUGGAAAAGUAUCCACUGGUUGAGGGGGGAGUGGAUAUUCUCUUAUAAUAAUUUCCUUGUCAACAUCCAUCACAAUCACUCCUUCCUCUGUUAUCCAAUAAAUAUCAUUGUCUCCAUUAUGAACUGGUUUCCAUGCUAAAAGACCCGUGUAAUUCAACAACUUAACUUCUUUUCUAACUAUCUCUUUCCAUGUGUUGUCAAUUCCAAUUCUUAGGACGUUGAAAACAUACCAAUUGACCCCUGAAACAUUUUGGUCAUCUAUUAAGAACACCUUGAACUUGCCAGUGCGGGGAACACAUGCUAUAGUAGAUCGCAAUUGAGCCUGUAGUUUUGAAAGGGGUAAAGGAGUAUUAAGAACACCUUGAACUUGCCAGUGCGGGGAACACAUGCUAUAGUAGAUCGGAAUUGAGCGUGUAGUUUUGAAAGGGGUAAAGGAGGAAUUCUAAAGCAGCACUUAAUGAUGGGGUUUACGACGUAAGUAAGUCUAAAACGAUCACAAAGCAGAAACAUGCCAUCAGAAAUGGCGACUAUCUCUCCAAAUCUCCAAGAGAGUCCCAAAUAAAUCCUUUCAGAAUGUCCCUUGACAUAGUCUUGAAUAUUCAAGAAAUAAGAAGCCUCUGUUGCAUGUAUAAUUUCAAUAUAAAUACCAGGUGGUUUACCACGUAGGCAGGCUUGAAUAGCAGUAGCCCAAGGUUUGGAAACGUGCCUUGCAGAGUUAAGCAGACACUUAAGAGGAACCAAACUAAGGAUAGCAAGCAUCAACUCUUGAGGAAGCUUUGAAAUCAGAUCAAAAUUCUUACUACUAUUUGAGUUUUGCUGAAUAUUCAUAUUCUGCUUGUUUGUUGCACGGUCAUGAUGACGUGAGUCAGAGUAAGUGCACUUAUUUAUAGAUUUAAAUCUCUGCCUUUUAACUCGACCAAUUGUCUUUUCCGUCUUCCUCCUUUUCACUUCCAAGAUUUCAACAUCACACUCUUUACCGUCUUCGACCUCUUUUUCUUUAACGUCCUCCUCCCUUUUGGUCUCAUUUUUAGGACGAGCUUUCAUCACACUCUUUACCGUCUUCGACCUCUUUUUCUUUAACGUCCUCCUCCCUUUUGGUCUCAUUUUUAGGACGAGCUUUCUGUGAUAUUAAACUCAUCUUUUACAAUUGAACCUGAAAAAGAAAUAAAAGUACAACUCAGAUGAUAUAACACACCUCUAAUCCAAUAUGACAGUUGGAAACUGAAAUAUAAUAUGAGAACAGUAGACAACGGACUCGAUAGGAUAGUAUAAGACGACAACAAAUCCAACUGAUAGAACAUCAAAAUGAAUAAUGAUUGGUGAAAUCAAAUGAUGAGUAACAUAAAUAAAUAAAUAAAUACAGUCAUACGGUAAGCUUGAAUUGAAUAUUGAAUUUAUUUAUUUCAUACAUAAAUCAUCAAUAAUUUAACCAUUUGUGCAGCAAUCAGCUACAAUGAAAAUCAUUUAUACAAUAUUCAACAGAAAGAACAGAUUUUUCAGGUUGAUAACCCUCAAUUUCCAAUGCUGUUCCAUGCACAAAAUUCGACAAACCAAUCAGAAGUAACAUUAAUGAUGAGUCAGCAAAUGCCACUACAAAGGAACAGUUAUGGAACCAAGGAGCCUAGAAAGAGUAACAGGCAGAAAAUAACCAUCUCCAAAAUGUGAUGAUUAUGUGAGAGGCAAAAAACUGAAAGUAGUGGUGUGGAACUUGGGCUGAAAUUCCUCUUCCAAUUUCAUAAUAUUAUAUUUUUAUCAAAUGAAAUACCAAAAACUCAAACUAUUUUAUUAAAAUUCAGCGAAAUAAAUAAAUUGUAAAUAACAUCUAAAUACAACUUCAGGCUCAUACUAGCCUUCUUACCAUUUAAAAAUAGCCCUUCAAACACGAAGCAAACCAAUAAUAGAUAUAAUAAUGCAGUAAUGAGUUUCAUUGUAAAUCUUAUACAUCCAAUAAUAGAUUACCAGAAAACUAACUAUUACUACCAUUGUAAAUCACAAAAUCAAUAAUGAGUUCUUAAAAUAUAAAACCUUGACAUUAGAUUAGAUAAUGAGUUCCUAAAUUCAAUAAUCAAUCAUUUCAAAGUUUCUAAAAUCAACCUUUGCUGAUGAGAGUUGAGAGAAAUUAGGCUUAGUAUUUUUUUGGAGAGGAGAUAGAGAGAAGAUAGUCUCUUUAAAUUGGGUAUUUAUUUCGGACAUUUAUUUUAAGUAUAGGGUGCAAAUAUAAAGUUUUAGAACUGUUCGUGUACAAAAUUAAUGCAAUUUUCAAAGUUCAUAUAUAUUAUUACAAAAGAGAUUUGGGGCAUCCCUAUUGGGGAACUGUGCCAAUGUUUUGUAUAAUGUAACUGACUUUUGAAGAAAAAAAAAACCAUGGUUUUGUACAAGACCAUUCUAAAAUUUAUAUUUACACCUUAUGCACAAAAUAAAUGUCCAAAAUAAAUAGACAAUUUGAAUAGACUAUCUUAUCGGCAUCUCUCUAAACAAAUAUUUAACUUAAUUUCUCUCGAAUCUCGUCAACAAAGAUUAGAAUCUUGAAUCUUGAUGUUAGUGUUUUAGAUCUUUGUUUAGCAACAUUUUAGAAUUGAUUUCAAUAAAACAGUAAGCUAUAUUUUCCUUCCCAUUUUAUUUCAUUUCACAUUGCAGUUACAAAUAUGAAUAAUUCACACAAUCAAACUAAACAAGACAAAUAAAUAACCAAAAUUAAGAACAGUGAAACCAAAAUUAGUAUUUCCAAAUAUAUUAAACAUAUAAAAUGAAAAAUAAAACCUUCAAGACAAACCCUAAGUUAAACACAUUGAAUCCAACUUAAUAAAAACAGAAAGAAACCACCAAAGACCCAAAACAGAAAACGUUCAAAAACCCUAAAAAAUUCAAAACUUUAAUGGAUUCAAAAUGUCACAAUCAUAAAAUUGAAAAUAAAUUUAAAAAUCGUAAAAGACUCACCCUAACCUUUUUGCUCUUACUCACCGUGAUGACGACCUUCCAACACAUAAUAUAAUGGCAUGCUCAGUAGAUGGUGGUGGCUUCCAAAGAGAAACGACCGAACCGGUCGUUGAGGUUUGAAGCAUAAACAAAAGAUGUUUUUGUCUAGAGAUAGAGAAAUUGUACCAAAUAGAUAGUGUUUCUUUCUCCACUCACAACACAACUUUCACACACACGCGCAUUUUAUUAUUACUGCAGUGGAUACCAACACAAAUUAGGUUUUUAUUUAUUUAUAUAUCAGCAUUUUUUUUUACAUUAAAAUACUCUACUCCCAAUUAAUAUUACCUAAUUCACUAGAAAAUCAUUGGCCCAAAGAACGACCAAUUGAAAAAGAGAGAAUUUUUCUUUUUAGAAAAAUUUACCUCGUACCUUCAAACAAUUUUCAAAAUGUCAAAAAUACCUUCAAAUUUCUUUUUACUAUUUCACCAGAUGAAAGUUAAAAAUUUUUUUCUUCCAUUUUCUCAUUUUCGGAACAGUAAAAAAGAUUUCUAGUAGGUUCUAGUUUUUCGGUAACUUCCGGAAAACUUUAAAUAAGAUUUCCGGUACAUAGUAUACUUCCGAAAAAGUUUUCUUAAGUUUUCCGAUACAGAAGGUAAAUUCCGGAAAACAAACAAUUUUCUAGUACAGAAGGGGAAAAUUGUGUACCGAAAAACUUAAUUGUCAAGUUCUCCGGUACAAAACUGUGUUCCGGAAAUCUUCAUACACAAGUUUUUUCGGUAUAGAAUUGUAUUCCGAAAAACUUCAUACCCAAGUUUUCCGGUACAGAACUAUAUUUUGAAAUUAAUUCUUUAGUUUUUUUGAAUUUUAUUAAAUUUUUUAAAAUGUUAACAGAUAUGGAUAAACCGUUACUAUUAAUGGAUAAAACAUGCGUCGAUACUACAAAUAUUUUUGACACAUAUCAGGUAUGAAUAAAUAUAAUUAAUAUUAAUAUUGUAAAAAUAUAUUAUGGUGAUUAAUUAUAAUUUAUUUUACUUCAGAUAUUUGAUACAAAGGGACACUGUUGUGAAUUGGGCAAAAGAAAUCGGUAUAAAAAAUAAAGUUACUGUUAUUAUUAGAAGAUCAGAUAUAGAGACAAGAGAGAAAUGAAGAAGAAAUAAAUUAAUAUUAGGUAGUGACAAAUGAGGGAAAUACAACUGUGCUGCUAGUUCAACUCGAAGUUCAACAAAAAAGUGUGAUUGUCCUUUAAAGCUUAGAUCAAAACCAUUAAAAGCUGGUUCAGGAUGGAUAGUUAAAGUAAUUUGUGGAAUUCACAACCAUGAAUUACUAGAUACUUUGGAGGGACAUGUAUAUGUUGGACGCUUAAACGAUGAAGAAAGAAAGCAUGUUCGUGACUUAACAAAAUAUAAUGUUGCACCGAGACACUUAUUACUCUCAUUGCAAUACUGAGAUAAGAGUAAUGUUAUUAAGAUCUCACAAAUAUAUAAAUAUAUGAGUGUGAUUCGAUUUCACGUGAGAGCUAAUAGAACAGAGAUGCAACAUUUAUUCAAGUUAAUUGAAGAUGCAAAAUAUGUGUGUUGGAAUAGAAAGCGUGAAGACUCCGAUGUUAUGAGAGAUACUUUUUAGGCGCUUCCAAAUUCAGUGAAAAUGUUGAAUUUGCUUCCGAUUGUGUUGAUUAUGGAAAUUACAUACAAAACCAAUAAAAUACAUAAUGUCAUUACUUGAAAUUGUUGAUAUCACAUUAACAAAGAAUACGUUUGUAGUUGGAUUUGCUUAUUUGGAAUGUGAGCGGGAAUAAAACUUUUGCUGGAUGUUAGAGAGACUAAGAGAUUUGUUUGUUACACAAAAAAAAUAUCCUCAAGUAAUUGUGACAGACGGAGAUCUUGCGUUAAUGAAUGAAGUUGGUAUCGUAUUUUUACAUGCUUUUAAUUUACUUUGUCGAUUUCAUAUAAAAAAAAAUAUUGAAGCAAAAUGCAAGCAAUAUGUCUUAAAGGAUAGACAAGAGUCGAUAUUUAAUAUGUGGAAAGACAUUAUAUAUUGCAGUGAUGAAAAAUACUAUAUCAUGCAGUUGCACAUGUUUGAGCAAUCAUGUGUUGAUUCUAGAGUGUUUGUUUAUUAUGUGAAAGAAACUUGGUUGACUCCAGGUAAGAAAGGAUAAAGAAAGAGAAAUUGUACCAAAUACAUAGUGUUUCUCUCUCCGCUCACAACACAAGUUUCACACACACGCGCAUUUUAUUAUUACGGCAUUGGAUAGCAACCACAAAUUAGGUUUUUUUUUAUUUAUAUAUCGCAUUUUAUUUUAUUUACAUUAAAAUACUCUACCCCCAAUUAAUAUUACUUCAUUCACUAAAAAAUCGUUGGUCCAAUUAAUAUUAAAUAUGAUUAUAAUUAAAAAUAGUAAAUUAUAUUAUAAAUUUCAAAGAAAAUAUAUAUAAAAAAAAUUAUAUUAAUAACAUUCUAUUAUAUUAAAUUUACGUAUUUAUAUAAAUUAAUUGUUCUCAGUUAUCAAUUUACAUUAUAACUUUUUCAAAUAAUCUUUUAAAUAAUUUAUAUCUUUGAUUUGAUAUCAGAUAAUUAAAAUUAAUAAGCAUAUCAUCUAUUUAUUGCGUGAAAUUCUGAAUUUUAAAAAUGACUCGUGAACUCGAGUAAAAAAAAUGAUAACUCAUGAAUUGAGAUUUUUAAACAAAAAUAUCUUUUUGAAAAUAUAAAAAAUUAACAACUAUAAAUUGGUAUUUUAAUUUUUUUAUAAAUUAUUUUAAAUAUUAAAUUAGAGAAAAUAAUACUUUAAACACUACUAAUUGUUUAAUAUUUUUAAAACCAACUUUAAGGAUAUAGUUGGAUGAGUCAAAAACAGGUAUAGUCGGCGGCGGGUGGCUUAGAGCAUCUACAACGGGAGUGAAAAUGAGUUCGUCCGCCAGCGUGUAAUUACUUAACUUCCAGUUUUUUGUGGGUUCACCUUUGGAGUUGUGCUAAGGUGUCAUCACGGUACUGUCAGGAAGGAACUGUGCUUCAUAGCAGUUACCUUUUUUGUUUUGUUUUUUCUAUCUACUUUUAUAAUUUAAUAAUAAUAUAAUUAUAACCGCUACCUUUUAUUAAUUUAUUAAUAAUAAUAAAUUUAUCAUUUUUUAUUAAUUUAUAGCCGUUAACUUCUUUUUAAUUUAUUAAAUAAUAAUAAUUUUGUAACCAUUAGCUUUUUUUUUAGCCUUUUUUUUCUCCUUUAAUUACGAUUGUUAACUCAUUAAUAGAAACAAUUUGUUACUCAUACUUUUUCUUCACAAUUUUUGUUACAGAAGUUUAUUAAAGUUUUUAUUAACGUACUUUUUAUUUAUUUUUCCAUUUAAAUUAAUAUUUUAAGUUAUAAUAAAAUUAAAUAUUAAUGUAUAAAUUAAAGUAAUGGAAUAUAAUAUGAUUUUUUAAAAGUUAAACAGUAAAAAAUGAAUGAGUUGAUUUAAGGUGAUGUGACAUAGUAGAACUUAGAAUUGUUGAGUUCACCGUUGGAGUAGAAAAUGAUUGAAUUGCUUCAAGAUGAUGUGGCACAGUGGACUCCAUCUAAAGAACCCAUAUUGAGUUCACCGUUGUAGAUGCUCUUAGUGAGAAGUCAAAUAUAGGACAGCCAAAUUUAAUUAGGCACUAGCCGCCGGAAUUGAAAAAGUCCCGUUACUUUUUUUUCUACCUUUUUAGUUGGCUACCAUAAGAAUUAAUUAAUUAAUUAAUUAUAUAUAUAUAUAUAUAUAUAUAUAUUUUAUUUGAUUAAAUAAAUUAUUAUAUGAAAUGUUAUUAUUUUAUAUCGUUAAAGGUGAGUGGAAAGAGUUUAUAGCUUAAUUUACUUAGUUUUAAAAGUUUUUAAUUUAAAAAAUUAACAUAUAAAACUGUUGUGACAUAUUUUUUACAUAUUAUCGCUAAUACAUAAUCAUUAUAUCAUAAAAAAAGGUUCAAUCAUUAGAAUUGAAGGAGAUUAAAAAAUUUCAUAACAUUUCAUUAUAUGAAAUAGAUAGAUAAAAAAUAUGAAUUUAAAAUUAAAUGAUUAAAAAUCAAAUUUAAAUAAAAUAAAAAUAAAAAAUAUAUUAAUCUUUUAUAAUUUUAAAGAUGUACUUGAUCGUUCAAUAAAAAAUCAUAAAACUGUUUUCUAAAAACUUACAAAUUUCGAGCAACAAUGCUCCUGUUUACUUGUUAUUUUAAUUAUAAACUUGCGUGUUUGUUUUAUUUAUUUAUUUAAAAUAGUAACCAUUUUCAUUACAAAAGAAAUAUAUCCUUACAAAUCAACGGGAAGAUUUCUUAUAUUUGAUUGUAAAGUAUAGAUAGAUAUUCUAGUUUUAUUUUUCAGUACUCUUUAUUUUAAAUUUUUUUUAUCAAUUUACUCAAGAAAACUAUAUAUUAAAUUAUUUUAUUUCUUUUUUAAUUAUAAGUCGUUUUUUUAAAUAGUGACUUAUUAAAUUUACAAAGACGACUUUUUUAAAUUAACAAUAUAUAUAUAUAUAUAUAUAUAAUUCGUUAAUAAAAAAUGAUAUAAAUUUUAAAUUAUAUAAAUUAAUUUAAAUUAUUCGUAAUAUUUGAAUAAUAUUUUUGAAUUUGAUUAAUUAAUUGAUAUAGUUUGUGUUUUUUGACACUUUUUAAUUGUGAAUUAUGUCGAUUAACUGGUCAUACUAAAAAAUAUUAUUUAAAUAUUAAAUGCAACUUUAAUUAAUCUUCGCAAUUUAACAUUUGUGUUAUUGUUUUUUAUAAAUAAAUUAUAUAUAUAAUAUAAUUUUUGUUAAUUUAAAAAAAAAUUAAAAAAAUCUCUUAAGAAAAUCGUUAUUUAUAAAGACGACUUAUACGUAUAAUAAAAAAAAUAUUUUAGUAUAUAAUUUUUAAAAAUAAAUAGUUUAAUAAGUUUUUUUCAAAAUUGAGUUAUUGAAAGAAAAUCCUAGAUAUUCUUUUUUUUUUUAAGGUAAAAAUAAUAUUCUUAAGAAUGAAUACAAACAUAGGAAAAAUAAUAUUUCAUAAUUUAGAUAUUUUAAUUAACAAUAAUUUAUUAUUAAUUAAAAAUAAUAAUUUUAAUAUUUAAUAAUUUAGAUAUUUAUUAUUAAUAUUUAUUUAAUCAUUAAUUUAGAAAGAAAUUGAAGAAAUUUUUAUUCAACAUAUUGAAAAUAGGUAGUUGUGUUUGAGUUACUGUAAUAUUGAAAAUUUAUUUAUUAUAUAUUCUUUUUUUUAAAAAAAUGUUUAAAAGUAAUUAUUUUCAAAGUUUUUAUUUGUUUGUUAUGGCUUCUGAAAAAAAAUUUAAAUCUAAAAAAUAUUUAAAAAAUAUUUCAUAUAAAAAACUAAUUUAGGAAGGUUCACAUAAAAAUAAUUUUUAUGACAAUUUUUUUAAAAAUGAUAAUUUUAAUUAUAAUAAUAGACCAACACAAAACUACAUUUAAAAAAAAAUUAUAGUAAUAAUAUCUAAAUUAUUAAAUUUUAGAAUUAUUUUUCUAUAAUAUGUAACAAAUGAACUAUAAAUUGAUUUCUCAAUCGAAAUUAAGAGAAUAGUUUGUUAUGUUAAAAAAAACUAACCUCUCUCUUUCUACUUUGAUAGUUUAUAUUUGUUAAGUUUAAUAAUUUCUUAUCUUAUUUAAGAGGCUUAGUGACAAUAUUCAUCUAUCUUGUAUCUUCUAUUUUUUUAAUGAUGAUUGAUUAAUUUUUCAGGGGACUAAUCGAUUUAUUUUAGUCCAUGUCAUAUAUUUUUGCUUAGAUCUUUAUCAUAUAUUAUAUUAAUUGAACAAAAAUCAAAUAUUAUAAAGACUAAAACAAAGGUUAAUGAAAAAUGAAAUAGAUUGAUUUUUGAAAGAAAAUAUUUCCAUUAGUCUCUUUGUUGUUUGGAGGAAGAUGAAGAGGAGGAAAUGAAAAGUACGAUUUUUAAUUUAAUGUGUUUACUUUAUUUUUUAGAAGAGAAUGAUAGGAGAACAAAAUCUCUCAUAGACCGACUAUUUGCUUACACCAAAUUAAAGGAAUUUGGAGUAACUAAAAUCACUUCUAGAUCAUUUAAAAAUAUAUUUCCACCCUUUAAAACAAACAUACUUUUAAUUAAAACUUAUCUCCUCUUCUUUUAAAUGAAACACAUCUAUUUUCAUUUCUUCCUUCCCUCUCCUCUCCUCCCUCCCUUCCAUUAACAUCUUUUUCUCACUCCACUUCAUUAAACCAAAAUGGUAGCUGAACAAUGUUGGUCGAUAUAAAAAAAUGUGCUACCAUUCAGACAUAGAAUGGAGAACUUAGUAAAUGUUACCAGAUAAGCUUAUCAAUAUACUAAGUAGGCACAACCUCCUUUCAAGGCCCCCAUUCAAAUAGAACUUUAUGCUGCAAAUGGUAGCUAAACAAUGUUGGCCGAUAUAAAAAAUUGUGCUACCAUCUGAACGGUAAAAUGUUAAUGCUACCUCACUUCAGACAUAGAAUGGAGAACUUGGUAAAUGUUACCAGAUAAGCUUAUCAAUAUACUAAAUUUAAUGAACUAUUGUGAAAAACUAAGUUUAAAUAGGGCAAUCAAUUGUCAAGCUUUAAAAUAUAAAAAAUGGUGAAGUGGCACUACGCAGGGUUGCAGGAAUUUUAGUUGAAGUAACGGUGUUGCAGAGAAAUGGCCACACAAAAAAAUCUUCCACAGUUCAAGAACUUAAUCCUUGAUCAUUAGUGCACGUACAUGUUGUUCUACACUACGUUUGCCACCUCUAGGUUGGGCAAUGGUCGAGUUUGGGCGCAUCAGUUCUAAUUUUAUCAAACCAUCUAAAACAAAGUAUGCAAUUUACAAGCCGAAUUUCAACUAAUUUUGCAUUGGUUUAGGGGGGUUUUGGUUUGAGCGGAUUAUCCAUAAUUGUGUUUCUAUACACAAUUUAUACUAAAAAAAUACAAGUAUUAGUUACUAUUGCGCCAAUAUGAAUGAAUUUUUUUCAUGUGUGUGGAGUGUCACAGAUACCCUUACUGAGAGCUACCGAUAACAGUCGAGCAAAAGACAAAAUUCAUAUGAAAGAUUGAAUUUUGCAUACCAUAAGAUCCCAUUCCUCCUGACAAGAAUUUCACCUAGACCUCAAGUCAAAAGAUCAAAUAGAAAGUUUUCUAUAUUUUCCAUGUCAUUCUUCCUGGUUUUCUAUACCUUUAACUUUAGGAAUCUAGUUAAGAAACUGAGUGCCAUUCUAGGUGGUGGACAAUACAGACUUCCAGUUUCUCAGGCUGUUGUGAUCAAAACAGCAAUGGGGUAACAAAACAGUCUAAACUUGAAUAUUCAAAUGCACGAGAUAAAAUGGUGGAAGUUGAGGAAACUCACUAUGCAGUGCAUGCCACCUGCUGAUUUCCGGACCCUGUUGUGACAGUCUUUCAGAACUGAUAGAGCAUUGCCACAUUCACUGUGCUAUUUCCAACUUUCAUGGUAUGAUUUGUUAAUUGGAAUUGCUAUGAACCUAUCCUUAUAUCCGAGUCUUGUAAGGAUCAAAUACCCACACCUAAUAGCUAUCAGCCAAUCCAUGCAUUUAAGUUUACAAAGAUAAAAUUAAAUAUAUCCGCUAAUGAUAGAUAUAAAUGGUUGGUAACAACUUGUGAAGCUCAACAAAAGAGAUAUAGGCAAUUAUUUUUUCCAAAAUUGAUAUAUCAACAACUCGAUCAUGCUCAAGGACAUUAAAUUGAAAGAAAGGUAGCUUAAAAAAAAAACAAGCGUAGAAUGGUAUACAUGUUCACCCUCAGAAGAAUAUUGAAUGUAUUUAAAGAUUUGGAUGCAGUUGAUAUAAUAAAGAGUAGGUACAUACAGCGUCAGUGCUUAUUGGUUGUAGUAGGAGAAGGAGAAUGAAACAGAAAUUGUAUGACAACAAUGAUUGUAAUAAUGUACAGAAAGUGAAACUCAUAUAUUGCUUACAGAGGGAUAACAAAUAUGAAAGGUAAAGAAAAAGCUAUUAUGAGUUAAUGGAAAAUGGGCAACGGAAGCAGUGAGGUAGAUGAUUGAACGCAUUCACUCAGCAGCAAUCUGUAAAUUUGGUAAAGAGAUUUUGUAAGAGAAGAAAUAUAAAUGAUGAAAAAGGAAAAUGAAGUAUUGACUGACUUGAUUAAGAGGAUUGUCAGGAGAUUUCUUCCAAAGCUUCCAAAUCAUAUCUUUGUAUUGAGUGUAGGUAAGACCCGGUUUAUCUUGCUUCAACUUAGGGAGUUCAACUUCUUCAAAUGCCUGAAAAAUCAAAUCAAAUGAAAAUAACGAUUAUGUUGAGAAAAUGAAAGAGGAAGCAGAAGGAGGAUGGAUACCUUGAAGGAAGCCUUGAGUCGCCUCUCGGGAUGCCUGUCGGGUGGUAAGUUGUUAUCGAUACUCAUCUGAGCGAUCGCUUCGUCAAGAGUACUAGCUUCUAUUAUCGAAUCGUCACGAUUCGUAUUCGACACAAGCACCAUUCUCUCGUACUCUUCCUCCGCAGCGGUCCGCUUUUUGGAUUCUUCAGCCUUCUUCUGAGCCAGAGCCUGCUCUUCCUCGCGCCGCUUCCUCAGCUCCACCUCCGUCACCUUUGGUACAGGGAUCGACACCCUGUUCGCCUUCUUGUCCGGCUUUUUCAUCAUCUUCUCCAGCUCCUUCUCUUCCUCCUCUGCCAAACGACGCGCCUCCGCUCGUCGUGCUGCCGCCUCCGCCUUCUUAUCUGCCUCUUCCUCCCUUUUCUUUGCGGCGCGUGGUUUGGAACUCUCCGCCUCUCGCCAGUACUGGUCCUCCUUCUGUCGAGUCUCCCGCUCCUUUUUCUCCGUUUCCGCGGCGGUCUUGCGAGCCCUGGCCGCUUCCGCUUUGGAAUUCACCCCCAUCUUUUUCGGCAUCUUCUUUACUCUUUCAACCUAAAAUAGAACUAACUCACUAGCAGGGUUUUGUUGGUGAAUUAAUAAUAUUCUACUAUGUCUCUGCGACUGCAAUUACAACUGUUGAAGGGAAGGAACCGUGUAUACGCACAAAAUUCAUUCAUCCAUUCAUUCAUCGAAUUAGAUCCUUCCUAUCAGAUACAAGCCUUCUAAUGAUCCAUGGGCUUAGGCCCGCUUCAUUACUGUUGUCCACUAAUCUCAUUUUAAUCCAUUCAACCCAUAUUUUAAUUGUUAAGAAAAAAAAUAUUUAUUAUUCUACCGCAGCUAUUUUGAUGGGAUAUCACAAAAAAAAAUUUAAUUAAAAAUAAAAAAUUUUAAAAUAAAAAACGGUUUUCAACUUAAAGAAAUAAUUUGCAAAUGACGUUGAUGAUUGAACAAAAAUAUGAGACCAUGAUGUUUGUAAGAAUAGUCUAAGACAAUACAAAAGGUUUUAAAGACUGAGAAAGAAGAUGAUUAUAUGAUUUUUUUAGAUGAUGUAUAACAAUUAAAAUAUAUCAAUUUAGUCUCACCAAAACACGUAACAAUAUUUAAAAAAAAAUAUAACAUAAUUACAUAAAAAAUGACACAAUGAUUUGAAAAUUAUAAUUUUGAUGAAUCAAUGAUUUAAUCCAACCUAAAUAAAUUAACUCAUUGUAUUAUAGAAUUAUAAUUUCCAUGUCUUAGUUAAUCUAGUUAAGAUUAGAUCAUCAAAAUUGGGAUUUCUAAGUCAUUCUAUGUGUGACUAGUUUAGAUUGAAGCAAUUCAAUAUGAACUAAUUAGACUUAGAAAUUCAAUUUUUUAUAAUUUAACGGUUCAAUAUAACUUAAUUAGACUAACUAUAAUUUAAUAGUUCAAUUUUUAAUAAUCCAACAGUACAAUCAAACCUAAUCAUGAACCUGAGUUCAAGGAUGCAAACUUUAAAUUAUAGUUAAUAAUAAUUAUAAUAUGCAUAGAUUAAAAUAAAUGUUUAAAUUAUAUAAUUUUAAUAUAUAUACUACUAUAUUUUAUUAUUUAUGUUCAAUUAAAAAAGAAAUUAUAAUAUAUAUUAAAUCUACGAACCUACACAAUAAACAAUUUACCCUGUGGUAAAAUAUUUGUAAUUAAAACUACUGAUAUAAACGGUGGAAGUUGCUCUAGGAGUUUUCCACACUUUGAGGCUUCACAUACAUCAUCAUGAGUAGCCAUUGAUUCCUACAAUUUUUCAUCAUUUUGGAUUGGUAGGUAUAGGAUGGAAUAGAGUGGAACCACGUAGAAUGAUAUUUCAUCAAUUUAAAAAAAAAAAAAAUGCCUAUUCUAUUUCAUUCACAGUAAUGAUCAUAAAAAUAUCAGAUCUGCAUAAUCUUUAGACAAAUAUAAUGACGAGGAAGGAUGAGAUGAUAAGAAACUAGGAAGGCAGGAAAAAUAAUGAGAGUGCUAAGGGAAAAGAUAUUUGAGCUAUUUUAUACACGGUAAAGAAAAGUCCAGCUUCAUGUAUAAUUAUAGUUACAAAGACUUACAUCCAUCUGAGAUGUGCAAGUCAAAAUUUACAUGUUGGGAUCGUAUGCGCCAGCGCAGGCUUGCUUGUGUCAGGAUACUACGUACGGUCACAUUUUUACAAGCGCUAUACCCUAUUUGGAAUUUUCAAUUAUAAGCUUCCUGGAACUGAAAGAAAAAUCUGUACUUAAGCUUCUGACCCUCUGGUGAUGUACUGUAGUCUCCAAAACAAAGAAUCAAUAUUAUCUAUUGCGUUAAUUAACAUUAAAAUAUUUGUCAAGUAUCUGUGGACUCAGUUCCCUUUUUCACAAAGAUUAGCUAUAAGCUCUGACUUAGCCUUCUCGAGGGCACCAGCCAAAUUUUCAGGCUUUCUCCCACCAGCUUGAGCGAAAUUAGGCCUUCCACCACCUCCGCCACCACAUAAUUUUGCUAUCUGUCCAAUAAAUUUACCUGCCUGAAUCCCUUGAUCCACCACCCCUGGAGUAAAAGCAGCCACUAGACUAACCUUCCCUUCACCUGGACAUGACCCCAGGACAAUAGCUGCUGGAUCUGCUAGUGUUUCCAUUAAAUAUUCUGCAGCACUUUUAAGUGACUCCGCAUCAACAUCAUCCAAGCACUCAACUAGUACCCUGGAAAAUUUUCAACAAUCAAUAAAUAAAAAUGAUACAUCAACUUUAUCAUCAUCUAAUCAUUACUUUUUCAACCAUAAUUUUUCUUUUCUAUUUCAAGUCCUACCAUACAAUAGGCUCACAAAGAAGGAAAGCCUAUGUCCAACAAUUAGAGUUAGAGUUGAGAGAUUAAGGUCAAAGGUAAAUUUUUGGAAAUCGUCUUCCAGUAGAUGCCAGGAAAGGUUACCAACAACAGACACGUGCAUGUGCAAGCCUUACUGGAUGGAGCUUUAUAACACCAGGAUUAAGUUGGCCUUUUUAAAUACUCCCAAUGGAUCUGAUUCUAUCCUGAACCCCACAGUGGCUGGAGUUUUAGCGCCAAGUUACCCUUUUAUGGAAGUAUAUACAUAUGAAAGACAUCAUCCCAUGUGUUAGUAAUGUCUGCAGCAUGGCAGCAUUCACAGAAAAUAUAUUCAAGGGAAUAUCAAUGAUGUGACGCAUCACCUCUGCUUCUUAGUUGUCAGCAGAGACAAACCCAAAAGCGUGCGUGGAACCUACCCUCCCAUGUCAUUCUACUUAUAUGUCAUGGGAUAUCUUUCCGGUCUGUAUUAAUAAGGUUACAUGGACAAUCAUCAGAGUUGUAUGCACUUAGAUACAGGGACAGAUCCAAAGCUCUAUCACAAGGGGGUGCCAAAAAAAUAUUAAUAACAGAUAUUACAUGAAUAUUACUAUGUAAUAGCUACAACAACCAAGCUUUAUCCUAGUAAGUAGGGUCGUUUACUUAGAUCAAACAAUGCUAUAACGUUCUAUCAUAUACCAUAUCUCUAUUCAGCUCAUUAAUCCUAGGUCUUUCUUAAUAGUUUUUCCAGGUCUCCCUACCUCUAGUGAUUUGACUACCCUCCAUUUAAUCUACUCUCGUUACUACGUAAUAUACAUGUCUCCUCAUCACAUGUCCAAACCACCUAAGCUAAGUUUCCACCAUCUUUUCUAUGAUAGAUUCUACCCAACUCUCUCUCUAAUGUUGUCAUUCAUAAUUUUAUCUCGUCUAGUAUUUCCACACAUUCAACACAACAUUAUCAUCUUUGCUACACUUAUUUUAUCCUCGUGCUGCUUUUUUACCACCCAACACUAUGUUCAUACAACAUUGUCGGUCUUACAGUUAUGCAGUAAAAAAAUUUCUUUAGUAUGAGCGGUACUUCUUUAUCACAUAAAACACCUAAGACACUUUUCUAUUUCAACCCUCAACUUGAAUUAUAUGGUCUCCUUCUAUUUAUCCCGUCAAUUUGUACUAUGGACCCCAGAUAUUUAAACUCUGUGACUUAUGGAAUGAUAUGAUCUCCAACUUUCAACUUCAAGUUAGAAAUGCUUUACUUUCUGCUAAACUUACAUUCUUAAUUCUCUGCCUUGCAUCUACUCAGACGGAAGUCAUACACUUCUAAGCCUUGUCUCCAAUUCUCUAUCCUCUCAAAUACUCCAAUUCUCUAACCUCUCAUUUAAUCACUCCCUUGACUCUCCAAGUAGAACUAUAUCAUAUCCAAAAAAGCAUACAUCCCAUUGCUGGCUCUUGGAUGUAUUUUAGAAGUAUUUGUACGUUCAAAACAAAUGUAAAAGAAUAAGGGCUUAAAGUUGAUCCUUGGUGCAGUCUAUUGUUAGGUGGAAAUCUUUUGUAGCACCACCUUGUGUCCUCACACUAGUUGAGGCCCCAUCAUACAUAUUGUUGAUAGCUCAAAUAUAGACAACUCUAACAGUUUUCUAUCCUAGGAUUUUCCACAAAAUCUCUUUAGGCACUCCUAUCAUAUGCCUUAUCAAAAUCAAUGAAAACAAGUGCAAGUCUUUUUGAUCCAUAUGGCAUCACUCCAUCACCUGUCUUAGUAAGUAGAUUGUUUCCACGGUUGAUCUUCUGGACAUAAAACCAAACUAAUUAUCAGUAACUCUAGUCUCUUAUUUUAGACUUCGGUCAAUCACUCUUCCCAUAAUUUCAUGGUAUGACUCAUGUUUAAUCCUUCUAUAAUUGGCGCAAUUUUGUAUAGACCCCUUGUUGUUAUAAAUCAGAAUUAAAAUACUUCUCCACUCAUCCGACAUUUUCUUCGACCUCAUAACCUCGUUAAAAUACUUUGUGAGCCAAGCAAUGCCUCUUUAAUAGUUAAUUAAUAUAAAAUAAUAUGUAGUUGGUCGUCCGUUGAAAAUUGAAACAGAUGAUUUUGGAGCUUUACUGAGUUAGUAAAGGUGGAAAAAUUGUGCUCCUCUAUAGAGUUGAUAAAGAUCUUGUAAUUAGUGGAGUUUACUAAAGCAAAAGUGCAUAAGCAGCGGUAGUUAGGCUUUUAUGCUGAAGCAGAAAUUUCACUGUUAGAAUAUGAAUAUCGCCUUUCACAUUGGUGGUAUCCAAGCGGAGGCGGGGAGGGGUCGUCCCUCUCCAGAAAACUUUUGAUUUGGCAGUUCUUCGGAUACUUUGAAGUGGUUAAUUCAAUUAGAAUUAAAUUAAUUUUUGGGUUUUAUAGUUUUAACUAUUAUCAAUGCCAAUCUCACGAAUAAUCCGAAUUAACAGAAAAUUAAAUUAAAAAAGUGGAUACUGAUAAAAGAUUUAUAUGCUUGAUUACAAACAACGAUAUACAUUAACUCAAUGCAUCCAUGUUUUUGGCAUCUAUUUAAUUUACUUAGAACUAGUAUUUUGUAUGGGAGUUAAAUUAAUUACCUUCUAUAUUUCUCCUAAUUACAUGAAUGCUUUUUUCAUAUAGAAAUAAAAUAUUACGGAGGAAAUUAGAACCCCCACUAUGCCUUCCUCUAUAACGUUUCUCUCCUCUAUAGUGUAGCUAGGUUCCUUUGAUGUUUUCUAGUAAGAUUAUCAUCCUUCAUUAUAAAUGACAAUCUUAAUUUUUUUUUGUUGCUAACAAGGGAGAAGACCCUCUGCCCCACCCAUAUUAAAGCAACAAAUACUACAAGAUGGAGAAGUAUUACCUGUACUGUUUUGAAUUCCCAACCAAAAACAUUUUGCUUGCAAUAACUGAAGCUUUGUAGACUGCUGCUUUCGCACGCACAGCCAAGUUUUCAUUUCUUGCUACCCGUAACUCCUCUAAAAGGUUUUCCACCCUUGCAGUUACUUCUUCAGGUUUAACCUUCAAAAGUUGAUUACAAGUGAUUCAAAGAAAGAAAUGGGGCCAAAUACAGAACAAGACAGUCCACAAUGGCCAUUGAUCUACUCAGAAAGAAAAACAAUGGCUAUUGAAUUUUUAUUUCAUUAAAUAUUCAUACUAAUAUAAAUGAUUAUUAUAGACAAAAAUGAAAUCCUCUAUGUAUGUGAGCAAAAUAUGCAACAAGGAAGCCGAGAUUUGUGCAUGAAAAAAGUCAGUUACAUUGUGGAAAAUUGCCUAUAAAUAAAAAGGUCAGUUACAGUGAAUCCGAUAUUGUACAAAGUAUGAUGGUUUGUCUCUCAACCCAAAUUCUGCCGUGUACUCAACCCCAAUAAAGGGCAACGAAAACCUAUAUGCAGAAAUUUAAACAAUAAAGAAUUGGCAAAUUAAUUGCAUGACUCAUGGAUAUUCACUGUAAAACAAAAAUGUAAAAUUAUGGUAAAGUAGAUGAAAAUGAAUAUUAAUUAGUUCUCUUGAGGACAAACUGUAAUCUUUAAAACUUAGGCAAAAUUGUGAAAAACUAAGAUCGCAAACAUACUUUGAGAGUGGAACAUAGCUGUUUCAGAUAAGAAUCUCGGGCAUUGACAUACUCAAUGAAAGCUUCCCCAGCUACAGCUUCAAUUCGCCUGACUCCAGAUGCAAUACCCUGCUCUGAAAUUAUUUUAAAACCACGAAUUUCAGAAGUAUUACUGACGUGAGUCCCACCACAAAGUUCCAUUGAUACUCCAGGAACCUCUACAACACGUACCUGAAGUGAACCAAAUUUGAAAACAAGAAACAGCAUAAACAUCAUAUGAGCUAGAUAAAUACAAAUUUAAAAUAUUAUAUAUAAUAUUUUCCUUCAUUAUUGAGAAGUAGAAAUAUACAAUAAGAUAUGGAACAUAUAGACUUUGGUUGGCAAGUUUGAUCCACUAGCUUAUAGUGGAUUUGACUAGUUUAUAGUGGAUUUAAUAAACUAGAGUUGUUUGGUAAGGAUAUUUAACUCACUAGUUUAUAGCGUUAUUCUACGUACUACUUUAUGUAGUGUUUGAGCUCAGAAUUUGUAUAUCAUAUUAUUUUCUUUUUCAGUUUUACUCACAAUUUUAAUUAAAUUCUCACUUUAAAACUAAGAACCCUAAUCCCUAAAGAAUAUAUAUUUGCCCAUAAUAUUUCAAAAUUUAUAAGCAUAAUUAUGCGAUUCUUUAAGUUAUUUAAUUGUACCAGAUUAGUCCUUUAAGUUAUUUUUGCCCCAAAUAUGUCCUUUAAAUCAUAAAACGUAUACAUUCUUACGCUUUUAACAGAUUUUGCUACAAAAAUGCACAAUGUCCGCGACACGUAUCUAACACAGACGUCCAAAUAAGCUUAUGUUACAAAAAUGCACAAUGUCAAAAUAUUUUAAAAUAAUUUUUAUUAAAAUCAAACUCAAAAUUAAAAUCAAUUAGGGUUCUUCAACAAUUUCUUCUCCUUUCCAUUUUUUUUUAGUUUCUGGGUAUGUUGCUUCUCAUCUUUUUAUUUCUCAGUCCUUUUUCUUACAGUCCCUUCCAAUUGAAUUGGGUUUUUUCCACACUACAAAUCUUUCAAAAUUUACACAUGAUAUGAACCUACACCCAUCUGAUUUUCUUUCAAGUUUUUAAAACGGAGCACUUUCUUUAAUUUCUAUGUUUUUGUCAUUGAUUUUCUCUGUUUUUAUUAUAGUUUUGGUAUCCACAGUUGUUGAGUUACCUUCUCUCAUAUGUCUACGGAUUCUAUCUUCUUCACCUUUCUAUUUUCUUCUAUUUCCCCCUUCACAAAACCUUAGAUUUCGGAAUUUAGUUCAUUGCACCCAUGGAAGAAAGAUCAAAACUUUAAUUUCAAUCCAAUAUUUUUCCACUUACUAUUUCCCUAAAUCAACAUUAACCUAAUUUCAAUUGAUAUUUUAAGUUCAGAGGAAGAGUGUUGAAGUUUGUAGAUGUAAUCUUAGAACAUAUUUGUGGACUUGGACUAAGAAUGGAGGAGAUGGCAGGGGUUGGGUUUGAACAUACAGUUGCUCUGGAAAAAGGGGGUUAGAAAGAUAAUGAUGAAGAUGGUGAAGGGAAGAUGAUGAAGAUCCUCAGGGUUCUUCAGUUUAUUUUUAUAAUAAAAUAUUAAUUAAAAAAAAAUAAUUUUUCACAAAAAGCCUAUUUAAAUUUGCUACGUCAGCAUCGUUUAAUCCACGCCAAAUCUGUAAUGAUCAGGUGUGCGUUUUUGUUACAGAAUCUAUUAAAAAAGGCAAUAGUGCGUACAUUUUAUGACUUAAAGAAUCUAUUUGAGACAAAAAUACCUAAAGGACUAAACAGAUACAAUUAAAUAACUUAAAGGACCGCCAAUUGUAUUCUGCCAAAUUUAUAUAAAACAGUAUAUGAACAAGUCAUGUUGUUUACAUUAUCUCAUUUUGUUUAAAUAUAUUUAUAACUGAGAAUUACAUUAAAUCAUUAAUAUUCAAUUGUUUAUGGCAAAUACCUUAAAAUAAAUUUAAGUAUUAAAAGUGAUCAUUAUUUAAAAAUCAAUACUAAAUAUAAACACAGAAUUUUAAUAUACAAAAGAUAGAGAUGUCAUAUUCUGUUAACCGGUAACUCUACCAAUGGUAAUACUAAUAAGGGAAUUUUGGUCUGAACAACACGAUGAGUCCUUGAACAUUAGUUGCAAACCACCCCUGAAGGUCAAAGUUCUGACCUCUUUUGAAGUACACACUUCAUGUUACAUGUUAUUUUUUUUAAAAUAGCAAAUGUUAGUUGUUAGAUGUAAUUUUGUUAAUGAGGGGUUUGAGUCAGACCUCCUUAUCACUCCCCUCCUCUAAACCACCAAACUACCUUAUCACUCCACAAGGAAUCGAAAUAACCUACACACGUAAAACUACCAUAACAGAAGUAAGCUAAAUGAAUUUCAAAGUUAAAAUCAAAAGUAUUUGUAGUAAAUCCAACCUCUUCACCAUAUUUUUCUCCAAACAUUGCAAUAGCCCCUGCUUUUUUUGCGUCAGAAAGAGGCAUCACUUUGGUCUGAAGAAGAAUUGCAUCCUCAAUCCAUCCGUUGAUCAGCAUUUCAAUUUUUGCAAGCUCAUUAUCAAGAAGUGGGCGGUGGAAGUUGAAAUCAAAUCUGAGACGAUCAAAUGCAACCAAAGAACCAGCUUGAGAGGUCUCCUGACCGAUGACUUCUUUAAGUGCAGCUUGUAGUAAAUGAGUAGCAGUAUGAUGAACCUGCAAAGCACCAACUAUAUUGACAGUAAUCUUGAACAACUUGUAAGCUUGGAAUUUGAAAAUAUACAUGACUAUGAUGGUGUAAGAAUUUGCCUUUAUCAAAUUUUAUUAUGACUAAAGAUUCACCAAACAAGUAAAUAAAAAUGAGUGGGUCCACAUUUUUGCACCUUAGCUCGUUGCCUCAACUUUACAUUCACUGUUGCUUCCACUUGUAUACCAACAUCUACAACACCCUUUUGGACAGUACCCUUGUGAACAAAUAUAUUACCAAAAGACUUCUGAACAUCUAUUAUCUCCACAACAGCCCGAGGUUGAUUCUUGCCUUCUGAAAUAUAUAGAAAACCAUGAUCUCCAAUUUGUCCUCCUGAUUCAGCAUAAAAUGGAGUCUUGUUCAGCAAAACUUCCACAUUACUACCUUCACUAACCUGUACAGCUGGAUCACCAUUUACCACUAGGCUUGCUACAAUUGCAUUACAAUAAAGACUGUCAUAUCCAACAAACUCAGUGUCAGGAACAUUGUCUACAAUAUUUGCCCCACUUCCAAUGGCAAGCUUGACGGUAUUGUGUGCAGCUUGUGAUUGUCGCCUUUGCUUCUCCAUCUCAAUAUCAAAACCAUUCAUGUCAAUACUAACACCACGUUCUUCCCCCACUUCUUUUGUUAUUUCCAUUGGGAAACCGUAGGUAUCAUACAAAAUAAACACAUCUUCACCAGCCAAGCAAGGCACAGUUCCAUUUCUUUCAGCUCUUGAUAUAGCAUCAGCAAGCUUCUCCUCGAGCAACUUUUCUCCUCUUUCCAGUGUCUGCACAAACCGAAGCUCUUCUCUCUUCAACUCCUCAAGGAUUCGGGGAGCUCUAUUCUUCACAUCAGCAUCAAUGUGUGUACUUAAUUCUACUACUUUCUCAGCAAUAAUGGGUAAAAAUGCUCCAUCAAGGUCUCCCCUACCAUCACCUUUUAUACCAAGCAAUCUGCCUGUACGAACGACCCUUCUAAUAAGCCGUCGAACUACAUAACCCCUCCCAACAUUUGAUGGGACAACACCAUCAGAGACGAGAAACACAAUUGCACGCAUGUGAUCUCCUACAAUCUAAGAAAAGACAAAUAACAUACUUAAAAGUAAUAAGACAGAUGGAUUAAAAUAAACUAAUCAAAAUUAUACUGCAUCUUGUAUAAGAUAAAAUUGUACUUACUUUUAGAUACCUCUUUGUCAAAUCAUCAGAAAUGCCAUAUGAAACAUUUGCUAAUUCAGAUGCCUUCUCUAUGAUGGGGAGAAUCAAGUCCGUUUCAUAGUUGUUGGGAACCUGCAGUUAACACUGAAUAAAUAUAAAAAGGACUUGACGAGCAAAUGAAAACAAUAGUACUGUGAGUGAUGUUUCAUUCACACCCUUUUUCAUUACCCCAUUAUUCUCACUAUGCAAGCGGGGGUGUAGGGUAGGGUGCAGGAAAAAUGGAUGCAGAAAUAUCAUAGUUCUAGCUCUAGCUCUAGUUGUAGUCCCCCAGAAGUACUUUUAAAAGUACAAAUGGCCACUUUUUACGACAAUUCAAAUGAAUGCAAUACCUUUUGAAGAAUGCGAGCCAUGCGCUCCAAACCAAGCCCAGUAUCUAUGUUCUUUUGCUUUAGAGGUUCAAGAGAACCAUCAUCUUUUUUGUUGUAUUGCAUGAAUACUAAAUUGUAGAACUCUAUAAACCGUGUAUCAUCACCAAGAUCCUGGUUUCACCCCCCAAGCCAGCCCAGAAAAUGUAAAACUUGGUCAUUGAAGUGAAAUGGAAUAACUCAAUUUCAAAUUAUAGCAUACUUACGGCAUCAGUGUAUCCCCUCUCAGGAUGAAAGUCAUAAUAUAUUUCGGAGCAAGGACCACAGGGACCGGUGGCUCCACUAGUCCAAAAGUUGUCAUCUUCACCCAAGCUCUUAAUUCGCUCAGCAGGGACACCAAUCUGCACAGAAAUGAAGAGCAUGUAGAGUUGAAGACAGGCAAUUUAGUUAGAAGUUAAUUAAAAAGGAAAUAAGAGGAUGUGCAAUUUAAUUAGCUAACCUGUUGAGACCAUAACUGAAAAGCCUCAUGAUCAUCUUUAUAAACACUAAUCCAUAAUCUCUCUGGCGGCAAAGCAAACCUAAAAGUAAAUGGAAGAGAUGAAAAUAAAAUAGAAAGAGAAUGAAGGAAAGAUGAAUGGAGGAGGAGGAGGAGGAGGAGGAGAAGUAAACUGACUCAAUGGUAGAUAAUUCCCAGGCCCAUUGAAUAGCUUGUUUUUUGAAGUAAUCACCAAAGCUGAAGUUUCCAAGCAUUUCAAAGAAGGUAUGAUGUCGUGAGGUUUGGCCAACGUUGUUGAUAUCAUUAGUACGUAUGCACCUUUGAGAAGUAGUAGCACGAGGCAAUUCUCUGGGAACAUUACCAAGGAAGAUAGGCUUGAAUUGAAGCAUACCAGCGAUAGUGAGGAGAACAGUGGGGUCAUCUGGGACGAGAGAAGCACUGGGAAGGACCUUGUGACCGCGGGAAGCAUAAAAACUAAGAAAUCUUUGCCGUAUGGAAUCUCCACUCACAUUCCCUGUUGUGAUCACUUGUUCGGCUGGGUGUUGAGGUUGCGAUUGCGGUUGCGACUGCGAUGAUGUACAAAAGGCAAAACGACGACGUCGGCCAAGUUGUUUGAGAGAGAGAAAUCCUGUAAAUUACGUGUGUGCGUUAUUACUUAAUAAUAAUAAUAAUAAAUGUUGAGUAGUAGGAAGUGCAAGUAACAAAUUACCAGUGGGAGUGAGAGUGGAAGUGGAAGUGGAAAUGGAAAUGGAAGUACAAGUAGAAGCAUCGGCGGCAACUUUUGGAAGCAAGAGAUUUGGGAAUGGAACCGCCAACCCUUCCAUACCUCAAAAUCAAACUGUUGUUCAACAAAGAAACAAAAUUAAUGGAUAAUAAUAAGAAUAAGCAUAUCUUCUCUUCACUUUCCCCAACUCACCUUCACCACAUAUCCAUCACUUCCCACCUUGCCUAUACUAUUCACCCCUUAAUUAAUUAUAUAUAUAUUUAUAAAUAUUUUUCUUACUUUAUACAUUAAAUAUAUUCACGUGUUUAUAAAAAUCAAGAAUAAUUCUGUAGUUAUACUACGUUAUUGUAACUUCCAUCAACUACACAUAAUAGGUAUAUUUGAGUCAUUACCGAAUAUUAAAAGUUUACUUAUUAUAUAUUCUAUUUUUAAAAAAUUAUUUAAAAAAAUAAGUUUUAGAGUAUUUAUUUAUUUGUUAUAGCUUUUGAAAAAAUUUGAAUCUGAAAAUAUUUAAAAAACUUUCAAAUAAAAAACUAAUUUAAGAAGUUUCACAUAAAAAUAGUUUUUAUAACAAUUUUUUUUUAAAUAAUAGACCAUCACAAAACUAUUUUUUAAAAAUAAUUUAUAAUAAAUAAUUUCUAAAUUAUUAAAUUUUUUUUAUAAUAUAUAAUAAAUAAACUAUAAAUUUGAUUUCUCAAUCGAAACUAAGGAAGUAGAAUGGGACUCAGUCUUGCGUGGGUUAGUUUAAGAAUAUUUUUUGCUUUUUGUUUAAAUAAAUUUUUUUAUUACCUAAAAUUUAUAUAUUGUUUGUGUAUCUAAUUUAUAAUUAUUGAGUCCAAAAUCCGUCAAUUUCAUUCAUAUUACAACAAACAACCAAACAUAUAUAUAUAUAUCAAUACAUGUUCAUAUAUAUAUUUUUUUAAUUAUAUUGAGACUUGUUUGAAAAGAGACUAAAUAUAAAAUAGAUGAUAUAUAUAUAUAUAUAUAUACACCAAUGAAAAUGUCAUAAUCUAAAUUUUUAAUUCCAUUUUAAUAUUUUACGUGGUUUUUCUAUAGAGAGAAAAAAAAGAUUGUUUCUAAGUAUAAUUGGAGGUAGCACAAUUGUGAUUAUGUGACGUGUAGAAUAUUGAUGUGUCAUGAUCAAAACUCAAGAGAUUGAUUUAAUAUAUUAUAAUAGAUAAUUUGUUAUGUUUAAAAAAAACUAACCUUUUUCUACUUUGAUAAUUUAUAUUAGUUAGAUUUAAUAAUUUCUUAUCUUAUUUAAGAGGCAUAGUGACAAUAUUCAUCCAUUUUUCAUUUUAAUCAUGAUUGAUUAAUUUUUUAGAGGACUCAUCGAUUAAUUUUAGUCCAUGUCAUAUAUUUUUGCUUAGAUCCUUAUCAUAUAUUGAUUGGUAAAUGUAACCAUAUAAGCUAUUCAAUCAUAUUAAUUAGACGCAGCCUCCUUUUAAGGCCCCAAUUCAAAUCCGAUUCUGAGUAACCUAAGUUUAAUAAACUAUUGUAAAAAAAAACUAAGUUUAAAGAGGGCAAUAAAUUGUCAAGCUCUAAAAUAUAAAAAAUGGGUGAAGUGGCAUUACGCAGGGUUGCAGGAAUUUUAGUUGAAGUAAUGGUAUUCCAAAGAAAUGGCCACACAAUGCAAGGACCUUUUUUUUUUUUUGAAAAAUCUUACACAGUUAAAGAACUUAAUCCUUGAUCAUUAGUGCAUGUACAUGUUGUUCUGCACUACGUUUGCCACCUCUAGGUUGAACAUUGGUCGAGUUUCAAAUUUUGUCAAACCAUACAAAACCAAGUAUGCAAUUUACAAGCUAAAUUUCGAAUGAUUUUGCAUUGGUUUAGACGCGUUUUGGUUUGAGCAUAUUAACUUUCAUAAUUGCGUUAGGAUAUAUAAUUUAUACUAAAAAAAAAUACAAGUACUUAAGUUCCUACUGCACCAACAAGAUUAAUUUUUUUCUUCAUAUAUGUGUGUAAUCUAUUUUUCUUCUAAAUAUACCCUAUAAUUCAUAUAUUACCUCUCUUAUAUCAACGGCUUCUUAUGGUUAUUAAGGAUGAGAAUAUGUUAGGUCGUCCGAGGCCUAUGACAUGACCUACUUAUGGUCUGGUAUGGUAUAUUUGAUAAAAAGAUUAGACUCAAGUUAUUUUUAAAGUCUAUUUAUUUAAAUAAGUCAGACUCAGACUUAUAAAAAAGCCUAUUAGGCCGCCUGACAGACCGACCUAUAUAUAAUUUAUUAUUUAUUAAUGUUAUUUUUUUAUUAUUUAUUAAUAAUAUUAUUUUAUAUUUUAAAGUCUAUCAAUUAGACAAUCACUCGUUAGUCGUUCCAUAUUCGGUAGCCAUUCUAUAUUCGGUAGUCGUUCGAUAUUCGGUAGCCGUUCAAUUAGACAAUCAUUCAAUAGCCGUUCCAUAUUUGUUUGAGAGAUAAUAAUAGGUGCGUUUGUUUCAUGAGAAAAAAAUAUAUUCUUUGAAACCAAAAAUCAUUUCUUAGGGUUUAAAUGGUGUUUGUUUCAGAUUUUUUUAUAUAAAUGCAUAGUUUAGUCUAUUUAAAAAAAAUAUAAAAUAGAACAUUUAAAUGUUUUCAUGUAAAAAAGACUUUUAAAUAGGCUUUCAGGCCAGACCAAACUUUUAAAAAGGUCAGGUCAGGCCAGAAAAAAAGCCUAUGAUAGACGGUAUGCCAGACUUAGGCUUAAAAAAUUAACCGUAGAUCAGACUCAGACAUUUCAAAGUCUGGUCUGACCUAACCUAUUCCCAUCCAUAAUUGUUACCAAAAACUUCUUUACGAUGUUUCACUUUUGUUUUUCUCCACGUUACUUCUAUUUGCCUAAACUUUUUAUUUUACCAUUUUUCGAACAAUUUUUUUCCCCUAAAAAAUUUUAAUGACGCAUAAACAAGUUUAGGUCAUUGUCUCCAUUCAAGUUAAGGAAAUCCCUCCAAAGAAAAAUCUAACUUUUAGCGUAACACUUGUGACGCUCAUAUGAAAAUGUGUGUCCUUAUGAUGUAUGGAGUGAAUCAAUGACAAUUUACAAUGGCUUCCAUCUUGACUAUGUGAUAAGUGUACAAAAACUAUUUGAUGUUCAUGCUGCUUCUUUGCAUGCUCAUAGUACACCAUAUAUGUCUGUAGGUAUUCUACGGCCUUUAUUCAGUCAAUCAUCAUCUUGAUAUGAUUAUAUUCGUUCGAUUAAACUAUCCACUAAAAAAAAAACAGAAUAAAUUGGAUUUUUAUUUACAAUAUUGUAUUUCAAAUGGCAAAAACUUAGUGGUGAUGACGGUGAGAUUGGGAGGGAUGAUAGGGGAAUGAAAGAGAUUGAUUUGGGUGGAGCUUUGAUGGUCAUGGUUGUUGAGAAAGGUCGUAUAUUAGAGAAGGAUUACAUGUGGAAAGUAUAUGUUAUGAUAGUGAAGGAUGUGAUGAAUCUAAAGAUUAAAAACUCAUGGUCCAUCUUGGACUAAUAUUUCAUAGGUGAAGGCUAAGCAGACUCUUAAAUAUAAGGAAUAGAGUUAAAUAAAUUGAUAUGUUUAACAUUAAAUUUAAAUGAAAUAUAUUAUUAUUUUUAACCUACUUUUACUUAUAUUUAAAACUGGAGGAAGUAUGUUGCUCUUAUUAUGUACAUCAACUUUGUCAUGCUAAAAUUUAAAAUCUUGGUAUUUUAGUUGUACAUACCCUCUGAGCAUAUUAGUCUUGAAGAAUAAGUUGCUUGCAAUUUUGGAGGAUUGAGAUUCCUUAUAAUAUGAUAAUCCCCUUCUGAGAUUAUUUUUCUGAAUCAAUCCUUUUUUAAGAUUUAACUUCAACUCCAUCCUGCCAUUUUCUAAUUGAACACAAAACUACCAUAUAUAUAGUAGAAUUUACACCUUAUAUAAAGUGGAAUUGACACUUAAUAUUUUUUACUAUGAUGAGAGAUGUAGCAAACGCAUGCGAUUGUUCACCUUCCUACUAUUUUUAUUAUCAUUUUCAAAUAAAUCACGCUUAAGGAUUGCAAUUUUCAAUAGAUAAUAAACAAGUUUAAUUCAAUAUAUAAUAUACUUUGACUUUAAUGGAGAUAUAUUAUCAGGGUUUUACAUUGACAUCAAAUGAAAGACCACAAUUUUUUCAUGUCACAAUUAUUAAUUUUAAAAUAAUCAUACAAAAGUAGAAUGAUAUAGCAAAGUAAUGAAUUUUUAUUAAAUAUCAUUGUAAAACUGUUUUACACUAACAAUAUAUACUCUUUAAUUCCAUAUACCUAUUUUAAAAAACAAGUUAAAUCUAGUUUUUUUUAUAAAUUUUAGUAUGCAUGAUUGUUAACAAAAUAUGUAAAAAUUAAUAAUUAGAUUGGUGAAAUUCAAUUUCAACAAAAAGUUAUUAAAAAGAGUAACUCUAACAAGAGGAACUCACGACACCAGGUUACUACUUCCGCAAUAAGUUGAUUCUAAACUCAUGUAUUUCUUUAUCUAUUUAUAUUUAGUAAUUUUAUUUUAAGAAACAAAAACUUUCCUUUGGGUUUGAAAAAGGGUAGAUAUGAUAAACCUUUCAUGUACUUAAUUGCUCGAAAGUUGGGCAUGAAUGGAGCAUGCAGGAGGCGAUGGCUUCCAUCAUAAUAGGCAAAAUGACCCCCCACCCAAGCUAUAUAUUUGUUCACAUUUCUACCAAAUAGAAGCUAUAACCUAAAAAAUUGGGAUAAAAUCUAGUAAGCCGGAUCACAAUAUUGUUCCAUAUCUUUUGCCAUGCCAUAAAAACAAAAUGGCACUGGAUGACAUGGAACAUAUACAAUUUGGGUUGGGUGACCAGGUUGUUCAAUAUACACACAAAAAAAGAACCCAGAUUUCUCACCACUAUGGAAUCUUCAAUCACCAUUAUUUGUGCAAUCUGAUUUUCUCUGUUUAGCAGCAAGUCGGGGCCUCAGCUGUAUGGCAAGGAGGUAAAGACAAGUAGAAAAGGAAAAUAAAAUAAAAUCAAAAUAGUGUUCGGUGGUUGAGCAUGUAAACUAUACACUAACAGUGAAAAAUAGCUUCUAUGGAAAGACAAAAGAGACAAGACUGCCAUGAGUUGGGGAUUAGAAGAGGAGGGAUUGACCUACCUACAAUAAUUAGUACACAUUCCAAUAUUCCUAGAAUCUAUACCUUAAGUUGCAUACUAUAAGCCUUUGUCUGUGUUCUAAUGAAUCAAACCAAUUCUAUGUUGCUAAAUUAUUUUAUUAUUACUAUUGUCUAUUAUAUUUUCAUCUUUGACAGCAUACAAGCAGAAGUAUAAACCAAGAAAUGCUCACCACAGAUUAUUUUGACUAAUCAGAAAUAUGCAGUUUACACAUACCAUUUCUAUAUACUUCAGUUGCUUCAGAACUUGAUCUGUCUCCACCUCCUGCAGCAAGUAAAUGAAGUUGGGAAUUUACAAUGGCAAAGCAAGAUAGUGUUCAAAGCUACAUCAAAUUACAAGGGAACAGAAAAGAACAGAAUAUGUUACAUAACAUCCCUAUUUUCAUUAUCAUGCUUAGGGUUGUCUUAAUCGGGGUUUGCUUUUGUGUGUAUGUCAGUUUGAGUGCUUCGGAUGGGAUCAGAACUAGGGUUUUUAACUUGGAAGUGAAAAUGAGGGUUUCCAUGUCUGAGCCAGGUGCCAAAGCGCAAGCCAACAGCCCCUAGCAACGAUUACAUGUUGAAACAUGACUGUUUUUCAUUGGACAAGGGGACUAGCACGUGAUUUGGACAAGGCAGUGGACUUCAGAGUCCAGGUGCACCCCUCGGCCCUCAGGCCCUAGCCAAGUGCAUAUAGCAAUCAUAGCAGCUUGCCACGUGGAACACUGGUUGGGUGGCCAAACGGUGACACUUGACGUUGUCUAGAUGGUGAAGGAAACUGCCACCAUGCACCUCAAUAAGUAUACUUUCAGAGCUUAUUAUCUUCUUUCAAUGAUUCUAAAUUGUUUUUGUAGCUUACAUCUCAUCCUGAUACUAUUUUAGGGUUCUCGCACGGUUGUCAGGAGUAUAGGAAUUGUUUUGGACUGUUCCAAAAUUGUACUUAACCUUCUUUGGUAAGUAUAAGACAAUAAGUAUGUUCUCUGCUUUGUGAUACUCAUCGACUCCUUUGGUUACACUUGUUUCGAUGUGAAUGUGUUUUUGAACUCCUAGUGAAAUAUAGCUCGCAUGUUGUAAACCGUUGUAAUUUUAGAAGAACGAGGAAGUUCCUGGUGUAGUGGACAGAAGGGCAAGGCUUGGAACAGCCUCUUGUUCAUGUUCUCCUUGUGUUUUUUAUCUUGCAUCAUUUACCCUUAAUCCGACAUAACUGGAUUUUUGUGUACAUGGUGUAAUCUGAAUCGUGUUGAUGUGUUUGAUUGUAUUUUUGCCUUAAUUGCAGUCCACAUCUAGCUGACUUAAUUGCGAAAAAUUUGGGCUGCCUUCAUGCAGCUUCCGGCACCUUCAUUGUGCUGGUGUAAUGAGGAUGGAUUUAAUCCCACGUUGUCUGCAGAUGUGGCCUUUGUAGUACUUAUAAGGCUUCGGUAGCCCCACCUUACAAACUGGUUU